Molecule: long non-coding RNA, 59709 nt
Filed under: Medicago truncatula (barrel medic)
Lineage: Eukaryota; Viridiplantae; Streptophyta; Magnoliopsida; Fabales; Fabaceae
Description: long non-coding RNA (MTRU_LNC008715)
Rfam family: MIR2593 microRNA precursor family (bases 58160-58272)
Source: RNAcentral
UUAUUUUUUUUCCUUCAAUUUUUGGCCCCAUUAUGAAUCAAUUAAUCAACCUUUGAUGGAGAAAGGACUUACUUUUCCUUUGUAUUUUAUCCUAACUUAAUUAUUUCUUUUACCUAUAAGGAUCAACCCAUUAGCAUUUAGAUGAAAUGGUAAAAAUCUUCUCUUACAAUACUAUUAAAAGUUUUGAGGGUAAACUUUAUCACUUUGUUCUAUCCGGAUUGAAAAACUAAUCUCUUAUUUUGCAUGAUAAAUAAAUAUCAUUUAUAAAUACAAGAACCUAAAAGAAAAUAAUCGAGGUUAUUUUAUUUAUGUUUUCAUCUUUGUUGAAAUAAAUUGUUUCAAUGAUGUAAUUUAUAUAUACCGUGAGUGUAAAAAAGUUGCACGUCAAUGAAACAAAACCGUCAAAUCAUUAUAAAUAUUUGACUUUAAUUAUAAUUGAUUUUAAAAUUUCAUAUAUGAUUCAUUGUAAUUUAUUUUUAAUUAAAACUUUAUACAAUAAUAGUGUAUAAAAAUUAAGCUAUUGUUUACCACAAAAUACUUUUUUCCUUGUACAUGCGUGGAAACCGUCUCCAAUGAAUUAUGAAUGCUUUAAUUUUAGAGUAAGAUUCAGUACAACUAUUUAUGCCACUAUAAUUCAUCAUAUCGAUGAAAUGUUCCGAAAGAGAUGAUAAUUCCUUUGACCAUUAUUUUUUAUCCUCAAAAUAAAUAAAUAAAUAAAUAGAUAAAAUUAAGGGUGGGAUGGUUUACCUCGUGUUAAAAGGAUUCCUGAGUUAAAAUAUGGCUUAAUAGCAAUUUUUGUUUCCUAACUUUCACGAAGUUGCGCUUAAGUUUUGCAACUGUAAGAGUUUUGGCCCCCUAAAAUCAAUUUAAAAUUAAAAAAAAAAUAACACGUGGUACGUCAUUUAGGGUGACACGUAAGCCUUGACCGAGUCAAAAUUGACCUUGAGGGCCAAAACUGCUACAUUUGCAAAACUUAGGAGACAAUUUUAUAGUUUUUUCUUUAGAGAACCAAAUCACAACUUUUAAAAAGUUAGGGAGUUAAAACUGUUAUUAAGCCUUAAAAUAUACAUCAAUGACCAAUUAGAUAGUCUAUCACAAUUGGUCGAACUCUGCUAACUUUUUUAAUGAUGACAUGCUAUUUGAUUUGGCAAAGAGUAAAGUGAUAAGAAGUUUGAAAGUUUAAUUCACAUUCCAAAUGAAAAGGACUAACUUUUAUUAAUUAAUUGUCUUGAUGAUCUAUUGCGCUUAGUAGAAUUAUGUGUAUGGCUUUCCUUAACACGUCCUAUGAUUUAAUACCUAUAUUUUGUUUGUGAGAACUAUGAACUCUAAAUAAAUUAUUUUGUAUGGCUUUUUUUAUCGUCAUUGAACAUACCAUCUUAAUGUUAAAUGGUUUAUAAGAAAUUUUUAAUAAAGUUGGUUGAAAAAAUGGAUGACAUUGUAAAUAUUUUACAACUUAAAGGACCAAUUUAUAAUAAAAUAUAACUUAAAAAAUUAAUCGGUAACAAAAAAACUUAAAGGACUAAUAUGUUAUAAAUGUAUAACUUAAAGAACCAUGGGAGAUAUUUGACCAAAAAGCCCAAAUACCAUUUGACAAAGACAGACUAUUUUGAAAUAUUGUCAAAAGUGUAUCAAUUAUACUUUUACAUGACGAGGGAUUUAAUUGAGAAAUUUUGACAAAGACAGUGACUAUUUUGAAAUAUCAAUAGAGUCAUAGACUAAUUUGAGAAUCACUUACAAAUACAGCGACCAAAUUGGUGGUUUAUUCAAAUAAUGGCAUUGAUCACUUUAUUAUUCAUUCCCAUUCUUCUUUGUAGGUGUUAGAUGCGAUAACAGAAGCGCCUCACCCUUCAAAGCUUCAACACACUUAUGCCGGAUUUGCCCUCAUCUUUACCUUCAAAUAUCGUUGCUUUUGGUAAACUUCCCAAUGUCUCACUUGGCACCCAUGGUGUUCUCUCAAAGAUUUGUUCUGAUUACCCCACUGUGGACGCCAAUUUGUUGUGAAUUUGUUUAGAGCAAUUUGAUGGCCACCAAAACAAAAGAAACACAAUAAUUCUCUUGAACAAAAAUAAACAAUAAUAUGAAGGAAGAAGAAAAGUAAGAAAAACACACAAUAUUGUUUACUUAGUUUAGACCAAUAAUGACAUACUAUGUGGAAGAGAACAACUCUCCAUUCCACUAAGUAAGAAAGAAAAUUUACACGAAGAUUUCAAAAAGAAUUAUAAGAGUUAUUCUUCAAACUUAAUUCUACCUUUUUUUUAUUUUCAAACUUAAUUCUACCGUUUUUUUAUAUCUAGCUGUGACCAAGAGACAAAGUGUUUUAGUAUUCUUGAAGGUGAUCCACUUGGGGUUGGCUUAGUGGUUGAUUCAGGAUCUUAGUGUUUGCUCCUCUCAAAGUCUUAGGCUCGAUUCCUUCUAUUACCAAUUUCGGUUGGGCGGUGAGAUUAGUCCCUCAAAUUAAUUGAUUGUUGGAUCGGAUAGCAAGUUUUCAAUAAAAAAUAAAAAAGACCGAGGAAAGAACCGUUUAUGCCAAUUGUUCUCCUUCGUGUGGAAUAGAGAGGUAAUUCAAAAUGUGCAUCAACAAUUAUGGGUUUUUUUUUCGAAGACAUUGAGUCAAUUAACCAUCUUUUUAUGCAAUGAAUUUAAGUGAGAGAUGUCUUUGAAUAUGGUGUUUGUCUGGUUGCAGCACGAUUUUGAUCAAGGAGAAUUAGAAGUACCGAUGCACUUUUCAAAAUUUAGAUCUUCGUAAGUUUGUUCCACUUUAGUUACUCAAUUCAAUUCAUAAGACAAUAAACAUUAUUUACCUUAUAUUUCACAAGUUUUCUUUAUCAUCCUCGUUCUCAAACCCUAACCGUCAUUCAUUUCUUCUUCUUCUUCUUUUUGUUAGAGGGGUGAUUUAGGGUCAAUUUUGACCCAAAAAUCACCCCUCCGAGUUGUUUUUCCUUAUAUCAUAAUUCAAUAAAUAAGUGAUUUCACAUAUUUUCUGUUUUCAUUCAUUUGUUUUUGUGAUUUCGUCGUCUCGAACAACUCUGUUUGUUUUGAUUUCCCGUCUUUGUGUGGUGUGUUUUUGAUUUCCCAUCUUUGCGCGGUGUGUUUUUUUAUUUUCCGUCUUAGUACGAUGUUUAUUUGAUUCAGGUUGAAAGAUUAGUUUUGAGCAAGUGCAGAUCCGAUCAAUGUCAAUGACUUUGGCAUCGUCAACGUUGCAGAUCUGGAGACAUGAAUAUUCCAGAGACUUUAAUAUAGUCAUAUUAGUCAUAUUUGUAGGCAUAAAUACUUUGCUGUUUUAUGCUAUUAACAUGGAUGUUUUAAGUUUGUUCACAUAUUCAACAUUUUUGCUUUUAGCGAAUUUGGAUUUGUAUUAUAUCGAUGUACUCUAUCAAUUUGAAUGAAUGAAUAUCGUUUAUCUUUGUAAAAAAAAAAAAAAAAAUUAGAUCUUCAUUUAUUGGAAAAAAGAAAGUGGUACGAUUUUUCAUUUAUUUGGAAGAUGGUGAAUAUGUUGUCUUGGUUUAGUAAUAGGGAUUACUCACUUGAUAAUGACAAUGCAUAAUAUAUGCAAGGUUCGAGAUUUGAAUCCGGAAGAAGAAAAAAAAAGUAAUAGUGAUUAGAGAAAUAAGAAUAUAGUAUUCAAAACGUAUGAUUGCCUUGCAUUAUAAUGAAUUUUGACUACCCUCUUAAUACUGGCAUUAUUGUAGUUUGUUUAUAUGAAAAGAAAAACCAAUGAAAUAAUGUUUGUUCUCUCCCUUCUCAACAUUUUAAACCAUUACUCUUAUUGUCGCUAUCACUGCAUUCUCAUUUUCAUUGUCAUAAUAUACAAGUGAGAUGUUAAAUUUCAAAAGGUGCUGUAUAUAUAUAACUUCUAGAAAUUAAUUUUUGAAUAAGAGUACUUGACAUAUAAAAAUCAACUCAUGGGAUGUGUUAAUGUAGAAGGUGUGAAUAGCAACUCCUUCUUAUCAAACAUAUUUGGUUCAGAACCGAGAAUAGCCCAAUAAAGGUUCUAUACACGAACAAAUUUUUCUUCGGGAGACCAUGAGAAUUGCUCUUCUCCCGUCUGUUUUUACUCAUUCUCAUUCAACAUGAGUUAACUCACGUUGAAAAUACAUCUACAUGAGUUAAUUUCGGCUGAAAAAUACACCUACGUGAGUUAACUCACGUUAAAAAUACACCUGCGUGAGUUUAACUCACGCUGGACUAUUUUGAUGGGAACGAGUAAAAAUAGAUGGGAGAAGAGCAAUAACCUGAGACCAUUGCCUAAGGGUGUCACUGCAUCUUUUUUGGCCUUAAUUGAUUCCACGAUAUGACAACCCGCGAGAUUGAAUGAAUUCAGGCCAAUUUGUUUGAUUUGUUGUAUUUAUAAGAUUGUGGCAAAGUUGUUGGCUUUGAGAUUAAAAUAUGUAUUGGAGAGAUUAUUUCUGAAUGUUAUACUGCUUUCGUACUCGGCCGACAAAUACUAGAUGGAGUUCUUACUCUCAAUGAAAUUGUCGACUUUGCAAAAAGAAGUAAGCAGGAGUGUUUGUUGUUUAAGGUUGAUUUUGAGAAAAAAGCGUAUGAUGGCGUUAAUUGGAAUUAUUUGAGAUAUAUACUACGGAGGAUGGGGCAAUAUAUGGUGCAUCAAAUAUAUAUUAAGAGGUUUCGAACUUAUAUCUGGUCUUCAAGUAAAUUUUCAUAAAAGCAAAGUUUACGGAAUCCAUGCAAGUCAAUAUUUUUUGCAAGAGGCUUUAACUUUCUUAAGCUGCAAUGUCGGUUUGCUUCCAUUCAAAUUCCUUGGUAUGCCAAUAGGUGCUAAUCCUAGAAGGUGUCAUCGUCGUUGAAGAAUCGUCAUCUAUGUUGGUUGGAGAGUUACUUUGUUAAAUGCAACUCUUAAUAGUAUUCCACUUUAUUUCCUAUCCUUCUUCGUAUCUCCAAAGAUUACACAAGAAAUUGUGAAAAUUCAAAGGAAUUUCUUGUGGGGUGGUGUGAAGGAAGAAAGAAAGAAAAAUUUCAUUCAUAAAAUGGGUCAAUGUAUGCAAAAGAAAGGAAGAUAGCAGAUUGGGUGUGAAAUGUAAUGAAAAGUUUAAUGUGUCAUUAUUAUGUAAAUGGAAAUGGUGAUUUAAUAAAAAAAUAACAGUGACAAGCGAUACAAUACGUGGAAGGUUGGAUUCAAUAUGGUGGUGGGAUUUGCUAUCAAUAGAUAGACAAGGAACAAUGUUUCAAGAUUGUUUUGUGAAGAAUGUGGGAUUCUCAAUGGAUAAUGGUGACAAGUUGUUGUUUAGGAACAGAAAUGGUACAAUGAUGUUAUGUUUUCUGCGCGAUUUCCCACUUUGUUUGCACAAGUAUGUGAGCAGAAUACACACAUUGCGGACUAUGGUGUAUGCGAGUUAAAUGUCUGGGGAUGGCAUAUGGAAGUUAGAUGUUUGAGUUGUUGUCUAGCAAAGCGACAGAUGAAGACAAUACAUUUAUGGAACUAUUACCGGAUUAUGUAUUUGACAGAAACGCGCAAGACAAGUUUGUGUCGAUUCUUGAUCGAUUGCGAGGCUUUAGUUUGAAGACAUUUUUUUUGCUGACUUUCACGAAUGAAAACUUAAUUUGUUACAAUUUUUAUCCUCUCAAUUAUCACAUUUGUUGCAAUUUUUUUACAAUUUGUAUCGGUGCUUAAUUUCUAUUUUGUUGCAUUAUAUCGGUGUUUCUAUUUGUAACAAUUUGUUACAAUUAACACAUUGUACCAAUUUUAGCUUAAUUGUAACAAAUUGUAAAAAAAAAAUUAUCCUAAAAUUGUAACAAUUUGUAACUUUAGUGGAAGAGGAUAAUUGUACCAUAUACCAUAUAUCAUUUUGUCCCCUUUUUUAUCCUCUCAAUUACACAUUUGUUACAAUUUUAGCCAUAAUUCAGAUUUUGACUCGAGACAUAAUGAUAUAUGGUCUAAAAAAUGUUUAGUUACGUUUUGAUCCCAAAAGUCCCUAAAAAAAAAAAGUUUUGAUCCCAAAAGUGGUAUUUUCUAACGAGGUUAAACCAAAAUUUUCACAAAAGUGAUGAUACAGUGUAACACAGUGAGACACUUCAAAAGUUUAGUAUCAAGCAAUUGCAGUGGCAACUCCCAUUACAUUGGUCGAUGAAGGUGUGUCACAUAGCACUUCACAUGUAUAUAAUAGAUGACUUUCUUCAAGUAAACUAUCUAUAACUAAACAAUCCAAAUAAACUCAACGAAUAAUGAAACACAUAAACGAAUUGAGCAAACUAUUAUAUUUUAGAAAUAAAAUAUCAAAUUUUUGUGUGGUAUUUCAGAAGCAUAAUGAGAUAAAUUUCGGCUAUAACGAAUGGAACAAAACCUACUAUAAUAAUAAUGCAUGCGCUGAUUGCUCUAACAAAGAAACAACCUAAGCUCUAAGCUAGGCUAGUAGUGCUGCCAUUUCCUUGUUGCCAAAGAGGGAACCGCAUAACAAAAAUAGGCAGCACAUAAGAAAUAGCCACAGAGAAAUGCAACUUCCCCAUAUAGCAUCUGGAUGCGGAAGUUACGACUGUAGAGCAGGAUUCUUUUGUAACGGAGGUCAUUUAUUAGGACAAAGAAGAAGAUGCAACUUGUUCCAAAGCAAAUGGAUGGACAAAGUGAAAAUACCAUGAAUAUCCUCGGGAAAUCAUGUCGGAAAAUACCAUAAAUUCCGAUUAUGAAAGCUGAUAUUAGUGUCACAGUCCCCAAAAUGAUGCCUACCCUCAUCAAACACUCAAAGUAAUUGAUGUAAGGAGCCCUAGAACAAAGCAAAAUCAGAUAUAGAUAAUGUUAAUAUGGGAAAGCAACAUAUGCAUAAAGAAAUUAAUGGUGAAAAACAAACUUACAUAUCACGGGCGUCAUAGACCGGAGCCGAGUCUAUAGUAUGCUUCUGUUCAACUUCGAUAACCAGGGCUUUUGUCGAAGGUGCAUGCGUCCCAUGGCUUGUUCCUGCAGCGUUGCCAGAGGAUUGUUGCGAUGGAGACAAUAUAGUGCUUGAUGGAAAGGGUUACGAUAGAGAGAGGGUUUGGGUGAGGAAGAUAAUUGGUUUUAAAUAAGGGAAAUGCUUUUUAUAACGAGUGUCAAGGAAAUAUGGUUUUUUUUUUUUUUGAGAGAUUAUAGCUGGUUUUUUUUUGACAGAAAGAUAAUUAUCUCAUUUCAUUAAUAAGGAUAUCUUGAAUACAAUCAGGUAAUACAGUGAAAUAGUGGAUACUAGCAUAAAAUGUGGCCGCCCUAGCAAGUCUAUGAGCAACCUCAUUUGCUUGUCUCCUAAUAAACUCUACCCUUGAGUUUGUGAAAAAAGAUGAGAAAGUAGUCCUACAUUCUCUGAUGAUAGCUCCUAAAUCAGAUACAUCAUUUCUAGUGCUGUGAAAACUAUCUACUACCCUCUUAGAGUCAAGCUCGAAAGUAAUAUUAUUUAAAUUCUGCUCUUUUGCCCAUCUGCUAGCAUAUAAAAGACCAAUAGCUUCUCCCUCAGGUACAUCUAAGAGUGGCGUUGACCAACUGGUUCUGGCUUUCACCAGCCUCCCGCUAUCAUCCCUGAUGCAUAUUCCUAUGCCAUCCCGGUUACUUUCUUUGAAGAAAGCAGCAUCUACAUUACAUUUGAAAUGACCUUCAUCUGGCUUUCUCCAAACUGUGUCGUCAAUACGUUGUUGCUGUACAUCCGCUUGAUUACGGCUAUCUUGCGCGUUUUGCCAACCCGUUAGAAGAUUAAGGCCUCUGUCACGAACUGCUGCAGUAGUCAUGACUUCAUUCCUCCAGAUACAAUCAUUUCUCUGUUUCCAAAUAGACCACAUAACACAAGCCCAAAUGACUCGUUGACUCGAAUCUAGCUCCUGCAGGAUUUCAAACAUGGUGACCCCAAAGCUGAGAUUUAAUUGAGCCUUUUGCUGAACUUUGCUCCACAACCCUAAUUGCUGCCAACACUGCCUGCUCUUUGUGCAAUAAAAAAAUAAAUGCAUACUAUCUUCAUCCUCAUUCUCGCAUAAAGCACAAGUUUUUGUGCAAUUUACCCCUCUGUCUUGAAGUCGGACUCUUGUUGGAAGAGCAUUUCUGCACGAUCUCCAUAGAAAAGUUUUCACCUUAGGAGGUCCCUUAAGAUUCCAAAGGAGUACCCAAUUUCCAUCACAACGGUGAGUACUCAAAUCCACAUGUUGACUGAGACUGAUACGAUAUCCACUUUUAACAGAAUAGAUACCAUUUGUCUCUGACUUCCACACUCUUUUAUCGUGCUGAUUAGGUUCAAAGAUUGGAGUAUUAAGGAUGCGAUUAGUAUCUUCGUUGCUAACAAGGUUCCUCAAUAAACCAACAUUCCAAAACCGAGUUUGAGAUAUGAAAAGAUCUGCAACAGUAAGCUCUUUGAAUUCUUCUGGCACACUUUCUGGCUUCUGUAGAACACCACCAUCCACUAGCCACCGCUGGUCCCAUACACAAAUAUCAGUUCCUGAACCAAUGCUCCACUUGUAUCCUUCGCUAACAACUCUUUUGGCCCCCCAAAUGCUGCGCCAAACGUAGCUUGGAUUGUGACCAAUCUUUGAGUCCAAGAAAUCACAUUUGUUAAAGUAUUUUGCUUUGAACAAUCUGGUGACAAUGUUGUGUGGUUCCAUCGUGAAUUUCCAAGCAUACCCUCAUUAAAAGCGCGAAGAUUUUUAAAACCAAGACCCCCUUCCUUUUUCUGAAUGCUGAGCCUUUCCCAUGACAUCCAGUUGAUUCCUUUGGUGUUCCUUUUGUUGUGACCCCACCAGAAUGAAUUAAGCAUUUUUUCUAUAUCAACAAUAAUGGAUUUAGGGAUAGCAAAGAUACUCAUGAUGUAAGAAGGUAUCGACUGCAAGACCGAUUUGAUUAGAGUUUCUCGUCCAUCUUGUGACAAGCAUUUGCUGCUCCAAGAGUUAAUCUUCUUCCACACUCUUUCCUUCACAAAUUUGAAAGUCGAGGUACGACUUCUGCCGACCAUAGAAGGGACACCAAGGUAUUUACCUGUUCCCAUAACCUGUUGAACUCCUAAGAUUUGAGAGAUAGAAGCUUUGACUGCAUCAUCUACAUUCCUGCUAUAAAAAAUUUCGGACUUCUGAAAAUUUAUAGACUGACCAGAAGCACUUUCAUACAUUUCUAAUAUAUUUUUCAUACCCUGAGCUUGACCACUUUUAGCUUUAAAGAAAAGAAAACAGUCAUCCGCGAACAGAAGAUGGGAUAUGAUCGGUGCAUUCUUACAAAUCUUUGCUCCACUUAUGGUACCGCUUCCUUCCGCUUGACGAAUAAGUGAUGAAAGCCCUUCAGCACAAAUGAUGAACAUGUACGGUGAUAACGGAUCUCCUUGCCUGAGGCCACGACCUGGAAUAAUUGGACCAAUUUUCUCACCAUUUAAUAUAACAGAGUAGUCAACCGACUCUACGCACAUCAUAAUCCACUUUGACCAUUUCGAACAGAAACCCAUCUUCCCCAUUAUGCUCCUCAGAUACUCCCAAUCGAUUCUAUCAUAAGCCUUGCUAAUGUCUAAUUUCAAAGCCACAUCCCCUUCCUUACCUUUAGUCUUGCAUUGCAUAUAGUGAACUAUCCCAAUAGCAGCUAAAGCAUUAUCCAAAAUCGACCUUCCGGGCACAAAAGCAGACUGAUUCUCAGAUAUACAUUUCGAGAGCACUACCUUUAACCUGUUAGCAAGAACCUUUGCCACUAUCUUGUAAAGCACAUUACACAAAGCAAUCGGUCUCCAAUCUUUCAUCGAUGACUGGGUAUCUCCUUUCGGAAUAAGAGUGAUGUUGGUAGAGUUUAAACACGGAGGAAAAGAACCAUUAUCUAGCCAAAAACAUGCAGCCUCAAAAAUAUCUGUACCACAACUACUCCAAAAACUUUUAAAGAAACCUGGAUUGUAGCCAUCUGGUCCUGGACACUUAUCAUUUCCCAUAGAGAAAGCAGCCUCUCUAAACUCAUCAACUGAAAACGGUCGAGUGAGAAGAUCAUUAUCUUGGGUUGAAAUAGACUGAGGAACUGCAUUAAUAACUCUGACCCGAUCUCCAUCCCGGCGUUGAAACAACUCAAGAAAAUAAUCCUUAGCUAUACCUUUCAUACCGUCUAUAGAGGUGCACUUAACAUCAUUUGCAUCCUCGAGAUGGGUAAUUUUAUUAACUGUUCGCCGAGAGGUUGCUGAAGCGUGGAAAAAUUUGGUAUUAAGAUCUCCUUCUCGGUACCAGUGUGUCUUCGCCCGUUGUUUCCAGAAGACAUCAUCUUUAACAAGCAAAGUGUCGAGUCUUCGUCUCAGAGCAUUAAAAUAAUUGAUGUUUGAGGAGCACACCUGAGUUCGAACUCUUUCAAGUUUCUUCCUGCACUUUUCAAUUUCUUUCCUUAUUGGUUGUUAUACUUAUAUUGGAGGUUUGUUUUAUGAUUUUCGUUUUUUACGCAAAUACCUUGUGUUGUAACAAACCAAAGCAAAUAUAUAUUAUAACAAACUAAAACUAAUUCCCUCGUAUACCAUUACCUUUUUUGUGACAAAUUUACCCCUUUUGUUACCAAGCCAAUUUUUAUUUAAUAAAAUAAAGCCAAUUUAUGAGCUUAUCUACUACUCUCCAUUUCAAAAUGAGUGUCGUUUUAGGUCUUUACACACAUAUUAAGAAAUGUAAUGAUUAAAAGAAAGAGAAUGAUUAUUUUACCAAAUUAUCUUUAUUAACUAUUGGUAACAAGUAGACACAAAAAAAAAAAAAAAAAAGUAAAUUACACUCCCCAAAAAAAUGCUUGAAUUACACUCUCUUUCCCUUUGAUGUUAAAAUAUACACUUCCCUCCCUUGCAAAGUAAAAUUUAUACUCCCCCUCCCUUAUAAGAUGCUUGAAUUACAACCACAUCCCUUAAUAAUUAAAUAUGCACUACACGUUAAUCUAUUUUAACAUAAAUAAAUAUUUUUAUGAUAUAUAUUAAUUUUGAACCACAUUUAAGAAAAAAUAAUUCAUUUCUUUCUAAUUUAAAUGUCAAUGAUAAUUAAAUUUAAAUAAUCCAGAAGUCCUAGCUCAACUGGCAAAAUGCCGAAAUUGUUAGGCCGGAUGCCAUGACCGGGGUUCGAACCCCGGUGCCUCCACUUGUGUGUGUGAGUUUUAUAAUGGCUUUGCCAUUUCGUCUAUCUACCAAAAAAAAAAAUUAAAUUUAAAUAUUUUGCUAUUGAUUUUAUAAUUUAGAGUAUAAAUUAACUUUUAAAUAACCAUGUUUUAUUGUCUUUAAAUUUUUUACAUGUUUUAAUUUUAUUUUGAGUUGUUUCAUAUUUUAUAAUAGGGAAUAUUUAUAAUGAAAUUGUGAAUAAAAAACAGCGAAAAAUAUGUAUUCAAUUUCUUAUUAUUUUAAAAUAGACUCAUAAUACUAUUUUUUUAAGUGUGUUAGAUUAUUGUUAUUUUUGCUAGAUUAUUAGAAAUAAAAAAAAUAUUGAGGGAGUAAAGUGUAGAUUUUAAUAUAGGAGGGGAGGGGGAGGGGAAUGUAAUUCAAGCUUCUCUUAGGGGAGGGGAGUAAAAAGUUUUCUAAUAUGUUUUGAAUAAGAGGGGAGGGGGGUAUAAUUCAAACAUCUUAGAGGGGGAGGGGAGUGUAAUUUACUAAAAAAAAUUAUAGGGAAAAAAAAUUAAAAUGGAAUAUUUUUUUAGAAAUCGUAAGCAUAGUUAACUUCUUAAUUAAGGAUUUGGAGCUUACAUCAUUGGUAAAGAAGAUGCGAUCCUUUUUGUAUUUUUUGAAGUUGUAAAUCCACAAGUUGCAAACAAAUUGAACGGAUUCAAGAUUAGGAAUGUCAUCAAAAGUCACACUAACAAGGAAAAACUCAUAAGCUUACAUAAGUUCCUUAUGUAAAAUGCUCCUGGGAUUCCAAAAUCAUUCAUUAUCCCAAUCAAAGUGAAUACUAAAUGCUUCUUGUCUUGCUCCCAAAGUUGAUUUUAUUUGGAGAAACAAACACGUCCCUAGUAUUGUCUUGAUUCCAAAAAAAGUAAGAAAGGAUUUUAUUUGAUCAACAACUUAUAGCAACACUAUUAGUGGCCAAUUCUGUUUAAGUUCUCUAAUUACAUUAAAACAUUUGUAACCGAUAAUUAAAGUGUGAAUAUUUUUGUAGUUCUUGUUUUGGGAUAACGCUUGAACACGUCAUUUAAAAAAUUUCAUCCAAUGGUAUUUUAACAUGUGUGAUUAUUGUGUUGUUGAGCCAAUCAUAUUGUAUCGUUUUAGUUUUAUUACAUCAUAUUUUUUGUUUUAAUAUUAAUUUAAAUAAUAUUUUACUUAUACCAUUAACCUAUAUAUACCCCAUUUAUAUCCGGUUAUCUCAUCUACCCAUUUCUCUUCCCUCUCAAUCUAAAAAACAACAUUAUAAUGGCAUGAAGAUCGAAUAACACCUAUGAGAUCAACCAUGUGAAGGAAUCAUGAACAUAGUUGUUCGGAUUGUUCAUGUUUGUCUUGUUCGUGAUGUCAAUCGUUACAGACAGUUUCCUCUUGACAUGGUUCUGAUGGAUACAUCUGUGAGUAUAUUCUGUUUUUUUGUUUUGUUUUGUUCUUUCACUUCUUUAACUAAUAAUUCAUUUUGUAUUGGUAAUUAAAAUUCAUAUGUCACUGUGAGAAGAAUUUUGAUUUACAAAUUCGAAAAAGACUUGAAGGAGGGGAAAGGUCUACUCUCAAUAACUUUGAUGUUGCUGUAAAUCUUAAGAUGAAAUUAAGUGGCAUGAAGACUGAUUGCUUACUCGGUAUGAAAAUUAAAAUUUAGUUUAAAAUUUAGUUGUCAGUCAAUAUUAUUUCUUAAAAAGUAUCGUUUAUUAAUUAAUUGAUUUUCAUUUGUAUGUAGACUUGAGGUGUAUGUUGACCGAUGUUGGUAUGCAAAGAGAAAAUGAACGAAAUUAAAUGGGGUAAAAAAAAUGGUAACCGUUGAGCUCGAUUACGAUAGGUUAAUACUUUUGUAUUACUUCUACAAAUGUAUUAUUAUUUUUUAAUAAUAUGUUUUAAAUGUUAAUAUAAAUUUAUUUUUGUAGAUUCAAAUAUAAGGUCACUACAUUUGGACAAUAUGUGGAAAAACUUCAUACUUUUGUUGGUGUCGGAGAGACCGAUAAUAUCAUCGUCGUUGUGCUGCUUGCCAAAGUAAAGAUUUGACAAGGUACCUUUUUUGUUAUUUUCUAUUUGUAUGUAAGUUAUAAUUAUAAACGUAUAGUAAUCAAAUUUUGCAACAAAUAUAGGAAAAAAAUAAAAAAAAAUAUAGUAAUUGUCAUAUUAAUGAAAAGAUUCGAUUUUGUUAAUUAUAAAUUCGAUUUAGCAAUCUCUAAUGUUAAUAAGCCAAUGAAGUUGCUCAUAGCUUUGCUAGAGUGACUUCAUGUCAUGCUAGUUUCCAUAUUUAUAUUAGAAUUUCAUGUUAUAUCUCUACAAUUAUUAUAAUAAAACGCUAUAAGUUUCUUCUUGUAAAAAAAAUAAAAAAUUAAGUGUGCACCAAGAAAUUAAUUUUUUGAAUAAUUAAUCUGUUAAUUUAUAUUUUAUAAUUAAACAUGCACCGUCAUUCGUGAUUUUCAUUUUUUUAGAUAAUUAUAUGCAGAUUUAAAAUGUGCUACAGUAUUUCCUUUUAAAAAUAUAACAUGUACGUAUGCACGGAGUGUUUUUAUUUAACAAACUAUAUCAUUACUUCCCCAAAAAAAAAAAACUAUAUCAUUAUUUGUAAUAAAAUUUUGUUAUUAAUAUAUACUAGUAGACUCUUAAAAAAUAAAUACUAAUUGAUUGAAUUAAAUUCACUACCAAAACAAUUAAUUGAAUUAAAUUGGAACAAAUUCGAUAGGGAUACAAACAUUAAUUUCUUAUCAAUCUACUAAUAGAAAUAUCAUAGAACAAAUUAAUUUCUAAUACAAACAUUGGGAAAAAAAAAUAUUGUUCAGGAUCUGCUACACUAUAGAAUAGCAACACUAUAGAAUAGCAUUUACUUUACAAAGUGAUUUUCAACCCUGACACGAUUUCUGCUCAUGAUUUGAACAAAAUGUAUUUGUAUAGAGCAUAAAUUUUAUUUGAAAAAACUGAGGUUUCAUCUCCAUUAAUACAUGUCCUUCAAGACUCGUCGACGAUGACCAAUGAGGAGGAUUAUUUGCAGAUUAAACCAAAGAAAACUGACGAGGGGUUAAAAGUGCGUACCAUGGUUUGUUUAUUCUUAUUUUUUUUUAAUUUUAAAUAAAUAUUAAUCUCGUUACGUCAUUUUUUUUUAUAGGUAUCAUGCUUUGUGUGUUGGCCACAGUCAAAUUUGUUAUAGUUAUAGAUGACUGGUGAUACACAUCAUGUUUUUGCUAUUAAAAGGUAGUGCCUGAUAGCGUAUGUACUUCGAUUCCAAAUGCAAUAGGCAUGCUAUGCGUGUUUUUCCUAGGUGCGUAAUACAAUUUUUCCUAUUAUCUUUAGCCAUGAUUAUAUAGGUAGGUCGUUAAAAUAUUACUUCCCAUUAAUAAAGUAAUAAUUGUUAAUUUUUUAAUGUACAUAUAGUUACAUGAUUAAGGUUCGUGUUAUUGAUGAAAAGACUCUCUUACAUUAGUUAUUUUUUUCUUGAACAAUGUUACUAAAAAAACGGUUGGUGAUAUUAUUGAGAAAAUGGAGGUAAAUUAUAUAUAUUCACCCAAAUAUGGUGACUUAAAGUUUUCUUUUUUACCGAUUAAUUUAAUUAUAAGUAUUAUAUUUAUUAAUAAUUAAUAAUAUUUCUAAUUGUUGUUUGUUUUAACAGUCUCAUUACGCAAGAGAUUACGUCGACAUUAUGCAAGAUUCGAAAAAGUCAUAACGGAUUCGCAUGAUCUCAAAUAAUUUUUUUAUCAUAUUGACAACGGUCCUUCUCCACUUUGUUUGAGAUCUUGCUAACCCAAUACGACUUUUCCAAUCUUGCAUCCAUGUUAUUGUUAGAUUCACCUUUAAACAUUAAGGUUGAAUCAACCAAAGUUAUAAUCUCUUUGGGCAUUGAUCCGCUCUCAUCAGACUGUUAAUACAAACAACAAUUAGAAAUGUUAUUAGUAAAUAUAAUACAUACAAUGAAAUUAAUAUGUAAAAAACAAACUUUAUGUCCCCAUAUUUGGGGAUAAUGAAUGUAAUUUACACUUAUUUUCUCAAUAAUAUCAACAAUUGUUUUUUUAGCAACAAUGCAGCAUCUCGGUUAAAAAUGCCAAAUGUAGCAGAGUCUGUCUCGUUAAUAACAUGAACCUUAAUCGUGUAGUACAAUAAAAAUUUAACAAUUAUUUCUAUAUUAAUGGGAAAUCAUAUUUUCACAACCUACCUAUAUAAUCAUAGAUAAUGAUAAUAGAAAAAAAAAAAUCCUAUUACGAACAUAGGAGAAACAUGCACAACAUGCUUAUUGCAUUUGGAACAGAAGUACAUACGCUCAUCUUGCACUAUCUUUUUUGUCGCAAACACAUGCAUUUUAUCGUCAAUCAUCUGUAUCUAUAACAUAUAUGACUGCUCAUUACAAGAAAGCAAAGCAUGAUUCCUACAAAAGUAAAAAAAAUAACAACUAAUCACUUGAGAUAUUAAUUCAAAAAAUACAUUAAGAAACAAAAACGUACAUUAAUAUUUAUUUAACAAAAAUUAAGAAACAAACCAACCAUGGUACAAUCUUUUAACCCCUCAACAACUUUCCUUGGUGCAUGUGAUCUUCAAAAAAUAUUCCUCAUUGGUCAUCCUUAACGAAUCUUGAAGGACACAUAUUCCUUGAGACAAAACCUCAUUUUUUUAAUCAUCCUAAUAUAAACGAUAAAUCUAAUAUCGACGAUCAAUGUUAAAGUACAAUUUAUGUUAUAUACAAUUGCUUUUCUUUAAAUCAUGAGCAGCAAUUAUGUCAGGGUUGAAAAUUAGCUUUGUAGAGUAAAUGAUAUUCUAUACAGUAGCAGAAACUUAACAAAAACAUCUCAAUAUUUGUAUUAGAAAUUAAUUUGUUCCAUGAUAUUUCUAUUAAAAGAUUGAUAUUUCUAUUAAAAGGUUGAUAUAGUAACUUUAACAUGAGAGCCCUUACAAGUAUAUUACCUCUAUGUGAAGCACCACUGUCGUCAUCUGCGGUACGUCACCAACUCUAGCCGCCACAUCAGAUCCACCUAAGCUCAAUUCUGAAAUUUAAUUAUCCAACUUAUGCUUCAUCAAAAUCAAAGUUAUUUCAACGUUUGGGCUCUAGUGGCAAGGAGCUGCUUCCAAGGACGUAUUUGGGAAAUAUCGAAUUCGAUUUUCAGGGAAAACGUCACUUGGCUAAUGCGCAUGUCUCUACGUACAAGCUGGAUCAAUCGCUCAUCUUUAGUGGGUCGGAAACCGUGCGAAAGAAAGAAAAAAAAAAUCAAAGUUAUUUCAAGGAGACAAAUUCCUUGUUUUCAAUUUUCAAUCGGUUCUUAUUACACCAAAAAAUAAAUAAAUCUUUAAAACCUGUUCGUCAGCCAUUACAGUUUGUGUGCUAGGUGUUACUCUUUGAUCAACGAAUUAGAGUGUCGUGAACUUAAAGUAACUUAAUUAAUAAUGGGAAAGACCAGAAACUUUUGUUUUUGUUUAUUGACGAAACGAAAGACCAGAAACUCGAACACGUAUCAUUGUCAACUACUCAAAUCUUUGACCAUCUUAAAACUUAUCCGUUUGUGUUUUAUUAUGUCACUUUUAAAAAAAUAUUUUGUGCUUUAAUUAUGUCAAUUACUUAUACCAUUGUGCUAACACUGACCACUGAGUCCAUUGAGAUUACAAGGCUAACUGUUAGGACUUGAACAAUAAGACUAACUCUUACCACUUGAACUAAUAUUUCAAGUGUAAAUAUAAAAAAGAAUGGGUUUCACAGCUUGUUAUGGGAUUUGGGAUCAGGGCUUUUACGAUAGGACAUGCAACCCUAAAAAUUGAUUAAGCAAAUUGGUUAAAUAUGAGAAUGUGUGUUCAGACAAUCAACAUGCUUUCAUAUCAUUUGUUUUUGACACUUUCAGCUUCCCAACUUCAGAGGCUGUUGACCUUCUACAUAGAGUUCAAAGAGUCAUCCAUAACAAUGUCAUGUCUUAUAGGAUCAUGAAUAUCGUGUUUACGAAGAUUAAUUCUGUCAUUCAAAAAGGCAUAGCGGCGUAGUUUAUUGUCUGCUUGAUAUAAUUAAUUGCUUGUGUGAUAAGAAAUAAACCAAUCCAUUUUUGUUAGAAGAGAUUUAAAAAAAAAUAUAUUCAAUAAGUUUUAAACAAAGAAAAACUAAUGACCUUUGGUGUAUUUGAUAAGACAAAUUUGGAGCUUUAUUCUCAAAUUCAAUUAUCCAAACUAGUUUAUACUUCAUCAAAAUCCAGGAGAUUAGUUAUUUAAUUCAAUUUUUCUAUCGGUUGUCACUAGACCAAAGAAUAAUUCAAAUUCAAUCUUUAAAUCUUGUUUGUAGACAUUGUGGUUGUGUGCUACUCUGAAUUACAAUGACAAUUAAUGAAUUAGAGAACCGUGUCCUAAAAGUAAGCUACAUUAAGCAAUGCAAAAGACCAUAAAUGGAAUGGCAUAUAUUUUGAACACAAACAAUGGGCACCCAAAUCUUUGACCAUUAAAUCAUGUUAACUUGCCUUAUAUUUUUGAACAUUUUCUAUUACAAGUUUUCAUAGAAAAAUUGAACUCAUACUAGUAGUAGUUAAUAAUAACUUCAAGAGUUAAGAAGACGGUAUGCUAACUUGUGCUUUAUCUUUAUCUUCUAAAUUCUUAAUCAAUCAAUAUUACUGUUAAGAAGUCAUGCUAACUUAUGCUUUAUAUUUAUCUUCUAAAUCAAUUUUAAUCAAUCAAUAUUAUUGUUAUAAUUUUAUUUUAUUUUUGAUAGAAAGUGUUAUUGUUAUAUUCAACUUAAGCGUCGGUGACAAUGAAAUUUUGUAACGCAAAUUCAUCCGUGAAAGAAAGUAAAAGUGUAAAAUGAAACAUAUAUAUUAGUAUAUAUUUUUGUCAAAAGAAUCAAGCAAGUGAUAAAAUAUCAUUUCAUGAUUGUUAUGGACAGCCUAGAACACGUCAACUACAGUUGGCAUUCUUCUCAUUAAUACUAUACUAUCAGCUCGGUCUUUAAAUACAAUACUUUAGAUUUUGAGAGGAUAUUUUUAUUUUUAUUUUUAAUAAUGAGAGGAUAUUUAAAUACUUUAGUCUUUUUUUACUUUUAACCAUUCGAACUGUUCAGUCUUUUUUUAAUAGUUAUUGUAAAAACAAAAGUCCUUUUUUAAUACUAGUAUUCUAUUAAUAUUUUCCAUCGAAAUAAUUGUUACUUUUCCAAAAUACUUUAGACUUAUUUUACUCUAAUCAAUACGUAAACAAUGAGGAUUAAAGAAAAUAAAUAUUGAUAACAUAUUCUAGAAAUAAAUUUGAACAAAAGAAAUAUUAUUUAUAAAUAAUUUUAAUACUGCUAUAAUAUUUUUACUUUCAUGAUUUAGCUAAAAGUAUCUUAUAUUCUCCAUUAAAAAAAAUCUUAUAUUUUGAAAUAGAACUAGCAUACUCGUUAUCUAGACCUAGAUCCAAAUCCAUUAAUUUCUAUAAUAGUACUUGAGUUGGACAACUUUGACCAAAAGAUGCCUCAAGUACCUUUCUAACCUAACCUUCUCACAUUGAAUACUAUAAAUAGAAGAUACCUAACAUAUAGCAAAACACAUCCAUCAAUCAACAAUUCACACAACAAUGUCUAUUUUUCUUAACCCCAAAACCUCAUUUCUCACUUUAUUGUUCUUUUCAUUUUCCACCUUAAUUGCACAUGCAAUUGUUCCACAAAAUGAAACCUUUAAAUUUGUAAAUUCAGGUGACCUUGGAGACUUCAUUGUAGAAUAUGGAGGUGAUUACAGAAUGAUAAGCAUAUUCAAUGCUCCAUUUCAAGUUGGUUUUUAUAACACUACCCCAAAUGCAUUCACUUUAGCUCUUCGAAUCGGUCUUCAACGAUCGGAGCAGCUUUUCCGGUGGGUAUGGGAAGCAAAUAGAGGCAAUCCAGUUGGUGAAAAUGGUACUUUUUCAUUAGGUGCUGAUGGAAAUCUUGUGUUGGCUAAUGCUGAUGGAAGAAUUGUUUGGCAAACAAACACUUCCAAUAAAGGUGUUGUUGCCUUUAGGUUACUCUCAAAUGGUAACAUGGUUUUAAUUGAUGCCAAAGGUAAAUUUGUUUGGCAAAGUUUUGACCAUCCAACAGAUACCCUUUUGGUUGAUCAAUAUUUAAAACCUAAUGGUCCUUCAAAGCUUGUUAGUAGACUUUCAGAAAAAGAAAAUGUUGAUGGUCCUUAUAGUUUGGUUUUGGAGCCUAAAGGUUUGGCUUUAUAUUAUAAGAGUACAAAUUCUCCUAGGCCAAUUAAAUAUUGGUUUUCAUCUUCUUGGUUUUCAUUUGAAAAAGGUUCAUUAGAAAAUGUCACACUAAAAUCUGAUCCAGAAUCUUUUGAGUAUGGAUUUGAUUUUUUUGUUGCCAAUUCUACCACUUCUGGUAGUAGUAUCAUUGGUAGGCCAGUGAAUAAUAGUACCUUAACAUAUCUUAGGCUUGGAAUUGAUGGUAAUAUUAAAUUUCACACCUACUUCCUUGAUGUGCGUAGUGGUGUUUGGAAAGUGACAUACACUCUCUUUGAUGAAGAUGAAGAUGAGGGUGAGUGCCCAAUUGCCUGAGAGAUGUGGGAAAUUUGGGCUUUGUGAGGAUAAUCAAUGUGUUGGUUGUCCAUUGGAGAAUGGAAUAUUUGGUUGGAGUAAUAAAUGUAAUGCUAAGCCUUUAGGAGGAGUAUGCAAAGCAAGUGAAUUUCAUUACUACAAAAUUGAAGGAGUUGAGCACUACAUGAGCAAAUACACUACUGGUGAUAGUGUAAGUGAAGAUGCAUGUGGAAACAAAUGUACCAAGGAUUGUAAGUGUGUUGGGUAUUUCUACCACAAGGAUAACUCAAGGUGUUGGAAAGCUUAUGAUCUUCAAACCCUUACUAAAGUAGAAAAUACUACACACGUGGGUUUUAUUAAGGUUCCUAAUAAGUAGUAAGAUAAGCUUAGAUUUCUCUUUGGGAAGGUCUUGGUAUUGUAUUUUAAUUGUAUCAAUUUAAUAUAGUUAUUUCCUACUAGUGGUUUUAGAUUGCAAUAAAGUUGUCGUUAUCUCUCUGCUCUCCACUUGGAGAAGGAGAUGUAAUAUUUCUAUUAUAAAUUAUGAAGUGUGCAAUGAAAGUGUUGUUCUCAUGCUAUGAUGUUUUGUUUUAUGUUUUUGUGUUGUUCUUGCUUAAAGAUUGGGUGGGUGCAGAUUUGUCAUAUAAUUCGGUGAUCGGUUUCAUAAACUCGAAAGGGUCUGCUUCAUUUGGUUCUGAUAACCCUCAGGGGUCUAUGUUACUAACAUAUUUGACUCAUCCCGCGAUGAGGGUUAUUACGCGUCUAAUUGAAACUGCAGGUCUCAAGGCGUCAGAACUACCUCCACUUUGGUACCGACUUUUUAUCUGUCUCAGUUCAUGUUACUGAUUUCAGACCGUUAGGCUCGAAAAAGCUUUAUUACUUGCUGGUUGGUUCAGAGAGUUGUUGGUUAGUGGAUCUUGAUUCCUUAUUGGUGGUCGAUCCAUACACCAGUUAUGAACCCUAAUUAUUCUUUAGAGAUGUUCAUUUUUCAUCUUUUUUGUAUCCUGGUUUCUCGCCCGUACACGGGUUCGCUGGGUUGCACUCGUGGAGAGUGAUUGUCUAUUUAGAUAGAUUAGGGCAGGUUUACCUGGUUUAUUUUUCACUAUGUAUUCCCGUUAGGGGCGGAUCCAGACUUUUGGUACAUGUGAGGCUAAAUUUUUAAAUAAACAAUAAUACAACCUAUAUUAAAAAUAAGAAAUAACAUUGUUUGAUACAAUACAUUAGAAUGAAAAUCGUCGCCUAUCCAUUUGUUAAAAAUGAGUUAAAAUGACAUCAGUACUAAUUGUUAAAAGAACAUCUCUUUCUAUAUAAGUUACAAGAUGGUCAAUUAGUCAGUGAUCAUCCAUUUUGUUACAUAGGUUACUCUUCACAACUUUCAUAGCUAAAAAAACGCCUUUAACACUUGCAGCUGUUACCGGCAAGAGCAAAACCAACUUCAAAAGUUUAUAAAUCAUAGCAAAUGUGUUGCAUUUAUUUGUUUCCACAAGUUUUGCAAAGACUUCUAAGCCCUUUCAACUUAGCAAAUUUUGGGUCGGAUCGAACAUUUAUAACAUAAUUCUUAAGUUGAUGGCGAAACACCACUUCCGACACAUCUAUACAAUCAUUUGGAUAAAACUCUGUCAUCAUCAAUAACUUAUUCACAUCAAAGCUACAAAUGAUUUUGCGGAACUCAAACAUGAAACACACUAUAAAAGAGAUAGUUAACUUAUUAACUAAGUUGUUUUUUUAUAUUAUAUUUGUUACUAAAAAAAGGGAAAAGGCAUGUGGGGCUUUAGCCAUACAUAGCCACUAUGUGUGUCCGCCAAUGAUUCCCGUUUUAUAUGGUACCUGGGUUAGGUCUCAUGCCCCAAUCUUAUAGCUCUUUGUGUUAAUUUAAUAUAAUUUUUAUUUUGCCUAAAAAAAGUGUUGUUCUAAUUGUCUUAAAGUUAUUUGAAUUGGUAAGCCAAGGAUCAAAGUUAUUUCUUUAUAAUUUGUUCCUAGUUUGACAUUAACAAUUGGGUUCCAUUCAAAUAAUAUUUCAGGGUUUUAAGUUCAUUAAUUAUAUGAGAUUACAAUGAUCGUAAGGGAAAACAAUGAAUAAAAUAUAAGAUAGCUUAUGAAAGACGAAAAAAUUAUUUAUGCUCUAUCCAAAAUUUAUUUAUGGUCUAAAUGACUUGGUCCUCCUGUUUACUCUCUUAUGAGGAAGUUAUAUCCCAUACCUCAACACGUGUACUUUCACUCCUACAAAUUUUUAAAAAUUUUAAUUUUACCUCUUUUACUAUUUAAUCUUUUAUACAUUAAUUUUUCAUCCUCAUUUUCAACAUCUUCUAAUUCAGAAUGGAUGCACCCCCACAUGAUAUUUUGUUAGUAUGUAUUUUUGUUUUCUUCUUCACCAUAAAACGUUUCCGGAAAUAUUUCGGAACACUCAUAUAUGUUUCCGAAAAUAAUUCGGAAUACUCGUAUGUAGCAGCUUUCCGGUGCAUGCGAGUUAUGCUAAGUAAUUUCAUUAUAUAAAAUAAAGAACCGGAAACGUGUAUCCUAGUUUUUCCGGUCCAAAAGAAUUAACACAAAAGCAUCAACAAAGCCGAACCAAAAAAAAAAAAUAAAAGCACACAAUUAGCAGUUAGCAAUAACAUCUUCAAAAAUUGCCAGCCCACAAAGUUAGUAUUUGCCUUAUAUGUUAAGAUGUGAAGAAAGUUAGAUAGACCUUACAUCUUAGGAGGUCAAGAAAUGAAGUGGACUGAUAAAAUCAAUGAGGAGGUCAAGAACAAUGCUCCUUCAUAAGCUAAUGGCAUAGAUCAAUGGAAGAAACAUUCAAUUUGUAAAGUACCCUCACAAGUCAGUGUUGAACAAAAAGGCAUUGAUUUACAGUAACAAUGUCAUUGAUCUAUGGGCAGCUUUCAUUCAUUAAAACAGUUUGAGUCCAAAAAAAAUUAAGAACUUAAAAAUGAAAAGAAAAAAAAAGAUGCCUGAACCGAAAAUCUUCACGCAACCAUUCCGGAAGAAAUCCAAAACGAUAACUGGAAAGCUUUGCAUGCGUUUUUCGAAAAAUCAACCGGAAUGCUUCGUAUGCGUUUUACGGGAAUCAAUGAUUUGAAAAUCGAUUAUGGAAACAACUCGUAACACAAUUCCAUGAAGGAUUCCGGUAACUCACUACCCCAUAAAACCUUGACAAACCCACAAAACCUAAAACCUCAAUCAAUAAUUCCAUUGAACUUUUUUUUUUUUUUUUGAAGAAGCUAAAAUAUUCCAUUGAACGAUCAAGAGAAAGAAUAGAGAAAAAGGAAACGAUUAUGAGAACAAUCAAUAAUUGAUGAUGAUUUUUGCAAAGAAAGUUUAUUGUUGUUUGUUGGGAGUGGAAGUUUUCUUUUUUCUAGAAAAGAAGGGGUAAAGGUGGGGUGAACGUGAAAGUGUGAAAUAUGUUUAAUUUUAUAUAAAGGGUAAAUUUGGUAGUUCAUGUAAAAUGUUGGGGUAAAAGUAUAAUAGUAGGGGUAUAGGGUAUAACUUCCCUCUUAUGAGUGCGGUGGGCAUACAAAUACCACUUAAAUUAAUUUAAGCUACACCAUUAAUCAAUGGUAUGGACAAUGCAUAACAUGUAAAUUUUGGGUUCGAACCCUGAUCACCAGUUUUUAUUUAAUUGUUCUUGCUUAUAAUUUUUAAACAUUUUUUUUCCGAUGUAGCUGAUAAAGAUGGUGGUGCGAUGAGCAGUUGUUGCCCUCCGCACCACCCCUCUCCCAUAUCUCUCUGCGAUUUCAAUGUCGGUGGUUUUGGGGCAGGUUGUUCUGGUUCACGAUUUCUCCCUCCUGGCGUCCUCCAAAGCGUUGGUGGUUUCGGUCGUCUUCAACAACCUCUUCUUGAGUUAGUUUCAACAACCACCACUUUUUCAUGGCAGCGUUGGUGGUUUGGAAGUUUGAUCUCGUGUUCACAGAUCGGUUCGACGGAGGAUCUUCGCCGGUGACAGAUCUUAUAGUGGUUCAAAAUCUAGGCUCUUUUUAGAAAUCUGGAUUGGUUCUUUGUUGGUUAAGGCUCUUGGCUCUGACAUAUGUUUCGUGUUUUCUGCGAUUCGUUUGAAGGUGGUGUUGGAGUUGUUGCAGCUGAAUUGUUGGUUUGUGGUUGGUUUGUUCGAUCUUUGAUUUUAUGAUUCAUUUUCAGAGUGUUGAGCACUGCAUGUUUCAUGGUUUGUUCAGCUGACAUGUACCAAUCCCACUGCAAUAGGUGAUAUUAUCCUUAUCACUCUUUGUGUUUGAUUGGGACUGUUAGGCUUGAAAGAGUAGUUAUACUUGAUGUUGUUUGUCGUAGGUAGUUGUCGGCUCUUGGAUUUGUAUCAUGUGGGCGGUCAGUCCAUACGCCGUUUUUCAGUUUUCAGUUGUUUACCUACUUAAUGAGACGUAGACGUUUUCCUCUCCGACGGUCAAGCAUCGACUCAUAUUCCCAACCUACUGUCGUCGUCAUCCUCAAGGUUGUCGUCGUUCUUCAAGGUCUGAUAAGGGACUAACUGUUGUGUUGAUCCAUGUGUUUCUGGAUGGUGGUUGCGAUUCUGAUCUAAAGUUUCCAGUAUUCCUCCCCGCGCCGGAGAAGGGUCUUAUGUGGUAUUUGCUUUGGGGCUUGAAAGAGUGUAUAACUUGUUGUGAUCUGCAGGAAGAAGAUGGUAUGUGGACCUGCUUCGUGUUGACGGUUGGUCCAUUCACCGCAGUUUCGACCUCUACUUAAGAGGUUGUUAUGAUCCAUUUGUGUUGUUUUUAAUUUUCAUAUUACCCGUUUGGGUAGACCUACAUUUUGUGGAUAAACCGGUUAGGUUUAUGUCCCCAGGUUUUUUUAUGUAUUUUUUUCCUUUUCUUUAAUAAUAUAUAUGAGCAUUUGGUAGAAGAUUAGAGUUGAAUACCAACCUAGUUAGGAGCCACUCUUUUUGAUGUCGUUUGCUUUUGCCUUGUAAAAAAACAAGAUUAAUUUUUCAGGGCCCUUUAUGAUAUUAUUCAGUCAACACUUAAAAUAAAUUUUUUAAGCAUAAUUUAUAAGGUAUGGAUUCGCCUUUCAUAAAGGUUAACUCAAGUGGAAUCUCAUGUUUUUUCAUAUUGUAUUCAAAUUAGUAAAAGACAAAUGCAUUCGUACGGGGUCGUGUCACAUUGCGAUAAUUAUAUAAAAAUGAUUACAUUGUUAAUAUUUUGACAUGUUUAAAAAUAUUAAAUAAAAAUGAUUAACAUAGUAGUUUUUAAUAAAAUAUUUGUUUAUUUAAUUUGCAACAGUUGGUUUAUUUAAUUUGUCACCGUCGGAAUACCGCAACACCGUCGCUUAAGGCUUUGUUUGGGAGUUGGGUUUUGGAGGGGAGGGGAGGGAAAGGAAAGGUUUGUGAGUGCUAAACCCUUGUUUGUGAGUUUUAAAAAAACAAGGGAAAGGUUUUGGGGGGUUUUGAAGGGGUUAAUUUGUCCAAUUUUAGAGUUCCCCCAAUUUGGGGGGGUUUUGGAGGGUUAAAGAUGCAAAUUGACCAUAUUACCCUUACAAUAAUACAAAAUUCCAAUUUUAGCCCUAACCUAAUUUCAUCUCAUUCUAACGAUUCAUUUCACUGUAACUGUGCACGCUCUCUCUUCUCCCGACGGCGACGUGAAUGGCGAUCUCAACCUGAACGGCGGCGAACGGCGGCGAGCGGCGGAGAAGGAAGCUGAACAACACAGUUUCCUUCAUCUCUCUCGAUCCUCUUUCUUCUGGUAUCAAUCUCAAACUAUCUUCCAUUCUUUUCCAAUUUCUUUUCCUUUUGCUAUUUCAUUCAUGAAUUGAUUUAUGUUUUGUUGUUUGAUUCACGAUUUGAUUUAUGUUUUUGUGUUUGAUUCACAAUUUGAUUUCUGUUUUGCUAUUUGAUUUUUUAGAGUGAAUCAUAUCUACUCAAUGGAUACUGUAUAAUCACUAUUAUUAUGAUUUCACUAUUAUUAUAAAUAAAUGUUGUUUGUUUCACAAAAAUGUAUUAUUUUGUGUUGGAUUCAGUUUAAAUGGAUCAUGAAAUGGCUCGUCAAACAAUUAUGGAAUUGAUUAGAUGGAGAGCAAGACUUCGAAUGACACUUGUUCAUGUCAUACGUCUUAUAGUUUGUUACUAUAGGAUUAAAAUCCAUUCUCAAAGUAGGAUAGUUGAUCGUAGUUUGACUCUUGAGAAGGAUAGAGUACGCAAUAAGAUAAUGAAUAUAGUUGCUACUAGUGAAGGUCGGAAGAUAAUAAGAAUGAGUCCUAAGGCGUUUUUGGAUUUAUGCUCUAUAUUACAACAAGAGGGUGGUCUUCUACCAACACAAAGGGUAACCGUAGAGGAACAAGUUGCUAAAACUCUUUACCUUCUAACACACAAUGUUAGAAAUAGAGAGAUUCAAUUCUGGUUCCGACGCUCUGGCGAAACUACUAGUCGUCAUUUUCAUCGGGUGCUCCGAUCAAUAAUUGAGAUAGGGCGUACCUAUCUCAAACAACCAGAUGGAUCACGCAUUCCGGUAGAAAUUCUUGGAAAUCAUCGAUUUUACCCCUACUUUAAGGAUUGCGUUGGAGCAAUUGAUUGUACACAUGUUCGUGUAAAAGUACCAUUGGCUGAAGCUUCAAGGUAUCGUGGUAGGAAAAGUUUUCCUACACAAAAUGUGUUGUGUAACACCCUCUUUGAAUUAUUUGAUUUAUUUAAUUAUUUAAUUGAGUCUAAAAUUUAUUAAAAAGAGUUUAAAAUAUAUUUAUUUGAUUAUGUGAUUUAUUAAGUGGCUUAUGUUGUUAUUUAAUAGAUUAAGAUUUGAAAAUAGAAAUAAGAUUGAGUUGAGAGUUUGUUAUGAGAUUUUAGAGAGUUUUGGGGGAGAAAGAGAAAUAAGAUAAAAUAGAAAAAGGGUUAUAAAUAGGAGAAACCUAAUUUAGAAAAAACAUAACGUAGGAUCAAUUUUGGAGAAAAUGGAGAAAAAGCCGAGAGGAGGGAGAAGACCUAGGAGUGCUGCGAUUUUCAUCUAUAAGGUAAGGGUGGGACUAACAUUCAAUAAUCUUAAGUCAUUGAUUCUGAAAAUUGGAUUUAACAUGUUGUAGGUUUUAGUUUUUGAGAAUUUGGGAAUUAGGGUUAAAAGUGAUUAUUUGAUGAUUUUCUAAAAUAAUGUUUUGGGUCAAGUUUUAUAUGGUUUUGAGUCUUUUUUGAUGUAUAUAAAUGUUUAGACAAACUUUGGGAUCAAAUUUGGGCAUAGGGAAGUUAAAAUUGGGAUUUUGGGGUGAAAAGUGUGUUUUUUCCCGAGUUGCUCUCUGACAGCAUGUCCUGUUUCAUGUUCUUGCGUCAUUUUCAUACGUUUCUGUUUUCAAUUAGCCUUUGGUGUAAACAUGAAAGUUGUAGAUAAUUGUGUUAGCUUUACAGUGGCGUCGGUUUGACUUGAAAAUGAUUUUUGGUUUAUGAGUUAUGGUCAAAUUACUGCACGUAGGUCACAGUGAAUUUUUAUGAAUUUCAGCACAACUUUGUCCGAAUUUGAAAUGAAAACUGGUAUUGAUUGGUAAAGGAUUGGUCUUAGGUGUAAACACGAAAGUUGUAGGUAUAAAUUUUAGCUUUCUAUUGCCGUUGGUUUGACUUCAAAAGGAUUUAUAGAAUUUAAGUUAUGGUCAAAUUACUGAACGUAGGUCACAGUGAAUAAUUGAUUAUGAUUGAUGAAUUAGUAUAUGUAUGUAUAUGUUGUGAAUCUGAUAUUGUCCAUGAUCGAUGAAGUGUUAUAUGUAUAUAUGAUGUUUUAAGAUGUUGAUUAUGAUUUGAUGUUGUUAUAUUGUGAUAUAAUUGUAUAUGCAUUACUUGAAUUAUAUGUGAAUAAUUGAGACGUUGUUGACUUGCAUUUGAUAUUAUUAUGUCAUGCUGUUUUUGUAUACUGUUGUGUUACUGUUGUUAUUUAACUAAGCUGCAUGAGCCGGUCUAAGUUGAUUAAGAUGAUGAAGUUCCAAAUUAUUGGAUUAUAUAAGAGGUUGUCGAUUUAAGAUAUUACGAGGUCGAGUCCAUGCAUUAGCAUUUCAUUGUUGGGGGCUUGAUGCCCUGGAGCCUUUGCUCAAUUAAGUUGAGGGCUUGAUGCCCUGGGAGCCUUUUUACGCUCAAAUAAAGUUGAGGGCUUGAUGCCCUGGGAGCCUAUUUACGCUCAAAGAUUGGUACCACAUGCAUGAUUAGAAGAUUAAGUUGCAUAGUCAAGAGGUUAAGUUGUCAGGUUGUCAAGUUAUCAAGUUGUCGAGUUGUUAAAUCAUGAAAUUGUUUAAAGCUGUGAUUCUUUAUAUAAACUAUUAAAGAAGUGAAUUAUGAUAUAUUAUUAUCUAUGAUGAAUAUUAUGAUGAUUACAUGAUGUUGUCUAUGAGUUGUUAAAUAUGAUUGAUGAUGCUUAUGUUGUUAAAUGUAAUUGAUGAAUUAUAUGCUUAAUAUUAUUAUUUGUGAAAUCUCACCCCUUCUGUUUGCCCACCAUGGGUAACUAACAGGUAACCAAGAAUAGUUGAUGUCGUGUGAGCUUUCCUUCUCGUGUGUCUUAGGUGCUCUGAUACGUAACGGGAUGGGAACUUUGUUAUCGCUUUUCUAUUCCUUACGUAUUGUUUUUGAAGAUUUAUGACUAUGUUUUUAGAUUGGAUUUUUAUGAGACAUUUAUGAAGAGGCCUUCGUGCCAAAGACUGUUUUAGUUAUUGAAAUAAAUUCCGCUGCGAAGUAUUAAAGAUCUUGUAUUUAAUUUUAAAGGAUAAAUAAUUAUUUAUUCAGUUUAUGAUUUUAAGAAAAGAAUGUGACAUUCCGUUUAUGUUGAAAAACUCUGAUUAUUUAUGCGAAAUUUUUAUGUUGGGAAAACGGGGUGUUACAUGUUGGUCGCAUGUUCUUUUGAUCUUAAGUUCACUUAUGUUUUGCCUGGAUGGGAGGGUACUGCUUCUGAUUCUAGGAUAUUAAAACAUGCACUACAGAGAAGAAAUGGUCUCAAAAUACCUAGAGGUAGUUAAAACUUAUUGUUAUCAUUUUCCCUUUUUUUCCGCUUCUUUUUCUUAUGUAUGUUGGUAAUAAUUAUUUGCUUUUAGGUAAGUUUUAUAUUCUUGAUGCUGGAUUCAUGUUGAGAAAGGGGCUAAUUACACCGUUUAGAUCAACACGUUAUCAUUUGAAAGAAUUCUCAGCCAUAAAUCCCCCUAGAACAGCUCAAGAGUUAUUCAACCUUCGACAUUCAUCGUUGCGUAAUGUUGUUGAAAGGGCUUUUGGGAUUGUGAAGAAAAGAUUUCCUAUCAUUUCAAGUGGCGCUGAAGCAACUUAUGGAAUCGAUACUCAAAAUUAUAUUAUCCUUGCAUGUUGCAUUUUGCAUAAUUUCUUGAUGGGGGUAGAUCCUGAUGAAGACUUGAUUGCUGAGGUAGACGAAGAAAUCGCCAAUCAAAGUGCAUCUCAAACUGGUCAUGGCCAUAUAGAAGUAGAUGAGGAUGAAGAACAUUCGCAUUUAGGUCAAAAUUUUAGAAAUUCUAUACUUGGUGCCAUGUGGACCAAUUACCUAUCAUAUCAUAGUAGAUGAUAAUGAAUUACUUAGCUAUUAUUCAGUGUGUAUGUUUCCAAAUAGCUAUUGCCAAAAAUAUUGGAAACUUGUUUGUUCAAAAUAUUCUAUAAUUUGUAGCUUUAAGUGGAAGAAUGUGUGUUGUUAUUGUUUCUAAAUAUUGGAAACUUGUUUGAAACUUGGAUAUUGAUGUUCCUGAUAAAUUGAAUAAACAUACUAUUUGUUGCAACUGUUAUUCCAAGAGUCACCAAAGAAAGGUAUACAUGAGUUCAUCUCAAAUUUAUCUAUAAAUUUAUAUGAUGAUUUUAUAAUAUGAUAUCUUUUCUUCUAAUAUAACAGAAUCAUGUCUACCUCUAAAAGAGAGACGUGGACAACAGAGAUGAACAAUGCUCUUAUUGAUGCCUUUGUUCAUCAAGUAAGUGCGGGAAACAAACAAGGUGGGACCUUUACAUCAAUAGCAUACACCAAUAUAACAAAGGAGAUGUCCGAAAAGUUUCAAAGACCUUUUGACAAGGAAAAGGUGAAAGAUAGAUGGAAAUUGGUGAAAAGAAAUUUUACUAAAUGUCAUGACAUUUUCAAUGGCAUGAGCGGUUUUGCUUGGAAAUCAGACACACAUAUGUGGGAUGCUUUACCUGAAGUUUGGAAAACAUUAAUUGAGGUACAUACUUAUAACUUACAUUAAUUGAGUUGUUGGGUUUGCUUGCUUAUAUAUAUGGCCUGAACCUAUGUCAGCAUGUGCACUUAUUUGAAUUGUAUAACUUAUUUGAUGGGAACUUAUUUGAAUGCAUAUUAGCAUGUUCUGAAGCUUUAUAACAUCAUUUUUUAUAAUUUUUUUUUAUAGGCAAAACCUGAAGCUGCACAAUGGAUGAACAAACCUUUUGUUAAUUAUGACAAAUUGGUUAUUGCUUGUGGAGAUGAAAGGGCCACUGGAGGAAAGGUUAUGAAUGAUGAAGAUAUUCGCCAAAAUCAUCCCCUCAAUCGUGAGUCAGAAUCCAUUGGUACUAGUGACCAGGUGACACUAGAGAGUUUGCAAGAGGGCGGCAAUGAGCAGGAUGUCACUUCUCCUGAGGUCCAAAUUCCCCCAGAACCUAGAGCCAAAAGAUCUAGAAAGUCCCGAGAUGAAGAUGAAGUUGAAGGGAUAAAAGCUGCCCUUUUGAACGUUGCUGAUGCUUUUAGAGAGAGUACUGCAUCUCAUGAUAAGUAUUUUAAAGACAGCAUUGCAGCUUAUGAGAAAGCUAAUUUAAAACUUCCAAUUUCAGAAGAAGAAGUUUUUAAACUUCUUGAGGAAUUGCAAGUGGAUAGUUGUUAUACCCUGUUUUUGGACCUAAAAAUACUGGGCCUAAUUUCAUUUCAAACUUUGUCAAAUGUCAAAUUUCAACUGCACAGUUCAAUUUGUCUCUGCUACGCAGUGUUUUCAAUCACAUUUUUACCUAUGUUUUUCUUGCAUAAGACCUUUCAAGAUGUCUUUACUUGUCUUGUAAGUCAUUUAAAAGUGUCUCUGAAUCAUUACAUUGCUUUUUCUACAAGUUUAUUUCAAAAUUUGCAAAAAGUCAUACAGAAGGGUAUUUUGGUCAUUUCCUGCAGUGGGACCCAUUUUCAUCCUUGUGACUGUUUCUGAGUCUUUUCAAAUUCAUUUUUAACAUUUCAUCAGUAAACCCUGUUUAAAUUCAUUUCAAAUUCGCGUCUGAGUCAGUGUCAGGUCAAUUUGAAUCUGUUUAGGUCGUUUUUAGCCCUAGGGGCAUUUUGGUCAUUUCACACGAAAUUUUGGCAUGGGGAGGUUACUUUGAAGUACCUCAUUUAGGCCAUUGGUUCGUUUUAGUCCGUUUUGUCAAUUUUAUUUGUGUUUCGCUUUACGUUUGGUCAAAUUACCAAUUUUAUUUUAAUUUUUAGUGUUUUUAUUAUUUUUGCAUUUUUGUCCUCAAAGAGUUCCAAAAUUGCAGUUCAGUCCACCUUUUUUUAAUUUUCAUUUCAGUCUUUUUUGUCAAAUUGCAGUUUAGUCCUUGAAGUUUUAUUUUUUGCAGAAAAGUCCAAAGUUCAUUUUUCAGGUCCAGGCCGUGCCAUUUCCAUACAAAUCCAGGUGUCACAUUUUCAUUGGCUCAAGUGUACACAUGUCAACUAUAUAACCAUUGAGUCAGAAUCAAAGCCAUUGAUCACACGCCACUUCACCAAAACAGAUUCAAUUUUUCUCUUUCUUGUCAGUUAGAUCAAACCAAGAAAAUCACAGAGAAAUCACCAAGAACACAAGAACCCUAAGAUUUCCAGAACCAAAUUCAUACACAAAUUCAUUGAUUUUCACAUCAAUCCUCAGAGAUUCGUGUGAAUCUUCAUCACCGGAUUGAAGAUUUCCCCUACAAUUCAAAGUGCGAGCUCACAUUGAAGCAAGCUCAAGCACUGAUCAUAGGGAUUUUUCACGCAGAUUCAAAAAACGUUGAAGCAAGCUCAAGCACGUAAUCACAGAGAAGCAGAGAAAGAAUCAGAGAAGAUGAAGAUGAACCGGUAAACCGAUUUAUUUUCGGUCCAAAAGCAAGCAAAAUCAUCAAAACCGUCAAGAACAUUCAAGUUUUUCCCAAAGGUUUUCCUCCAUUAAAGGUUUCAACCAAAACCUUAGGUAAAACUCAUACUCUUUUUCAAAAGCAAUAUCACUGUUAAACCUAAAAAUCACGCAAGCAAAACAGAUCCAAAGGUUCCAGAAUUCAAAGAAAACCAUAACCGUAAACAUCAAAAUCUAGAUCCGUAAGGAUCAACGUUUUGAAAGCGAAAACAGGCGUCAAAAAGUAAUCAAACGACGAAACGAUGUAGAUCUUUAAGGAUCUAAAUGAUCUCAUUCAAAAAAAUCAAAAAUCAUUUCAAAACCGUAAAAGCUUUUUCAAGAUCUACGUCGUUCCAAGCCGUUUUCAAAAAAACAAAUGCCGGAUUCGUGUUUAGGGUAAGAAGGCGAAUCGUUUGAUGUAGAAACUUUGAAGUUCUGGAAAAUUAGGUCGCCGGAGUGGUUUAGGCGCGCCGGAGAAGAUGAAGCUUCCGGCGGACCUUCAAGGUCUCCGCCGUGGCUUCAUCCUCACCGGCGGUGAGGGUUUAGAGAGAGAUGAGAGAAGAGAGAAGAGUUAGAGAGAGAAAGGUGUGUGACAAAUGAAAAAACCGGCGCGUUAGGGUUUUAUAUAGGGCGCUAGACCGGACCGGUUCAAGACCGGUCCAAUCCCCUGCGUAGUGAGCCCUUAGAUCUAGGGUUUGGGACCUUGGAUCAAUCCAACGGUCCCUGAGUAUCCCUGGGAGAUCCGUUUCCUCUGGUUUUGGGCUGGGCCUUCUGUUGUACGUUUUUUUGCUUCUUUUGCUGCUUGCACCAUUUUCUUUGCUAUUUGCACCUGUGGCCUGCUCAUUCUUGUUUACAAAAUUUCUAAAAAAAAUCCUAGUUGUUUCUUGGUACAUUUUUGGCAUUUUUAUGGUGUUUUCCUGCAUGUAAAAAAUAUCAAAAUGGCAUGAACAAAUUUCCAUGUGUUUUUACACUUUUGGUAUACUUUUUGCUAUGUUUUUGUUCUUGAUACUUUGAUAUGUGUUAUGAAUAAAUGAUACCAUAUCUUAUGAUGAAUAUGCCUCUGGACAUGUGCUUCUUUUUGCUGUUUUGAAUAUGAUUUUAUGGAUUUCUUGUUUUACAAGCAACAAAUGUUUGUUUUAGAGAAUAAAGUGUCAAAUUUCUCUAUGAAUUUGGUGUGAUACCUUGCUUGCAUAUGUUUCCAUUAAUUUCAUGUCAUGGCUUGAAACCAAAUUUCUUGCAAAAUUGCCAUGAUGUGAUGAUUAUGGGUUGCAAGCACCUUUAGGUAUCACAUCAAAGUUUUUAGGUUCAUUGCCACUUUAUUACCUUUUCUUUGCCAUUUUUAUGCAUUUCCUUUUGAUUACUUCCUACUAUUGUGUGCUUUAUGAUUACUAACCAUUUCAUCUCAUGUGCCAUACCUUUCAUAGCAUUCCACCACUCUCUCCACUUUCUUUAGCUUAGCAUUUAUUUUAUUUUUUUACAAGUUUUAAUUCAUUUGGUAAUGUAAUUUGUUAUCAUUGGUUUGUAGCUUGGCAAAGGGGCCAUAGAAUGUAUUUAGGCAAUUUUUGUAAUAUGGACUAUGGACACUAUGGCGCACCGACACGCACACACUCACCUUAGAUGUAUGCAUAGGAUUGUAUGGUUAGACAAGCGUUUAGGUUUUAAACCCUUAGAGAAAAUCCAUCCUUUUUCCAAAAAAAACAAUUGAACUUCACUUCAAAAAUUUUCAUAAUAAAUAUGAAGUCAACACUUCAUUUUUUUCCUUUCUUUUUUUCUUAAGAAAAAUUCAAUCCAUCUUAAUCAUUUAGACUUCCUUUCUAAUCACUAAUCAAACCUCGCUUUUUUUGCUAAAUCUAAUGCUCAUGAAGCCUCCCAAUCUCCUUCUUCAAAACCUUUUUUUUCAAAACUUAAAAUCAAACAAUUAAAACAAAAACAAGUCUUUUUAGCAAGAACUACGAACGGUUUUGAUCCCUUAAAAGGGUACGUAGGCAAUGAGUCAAAACUCAUCCAAGCCGAAAUAAAAUCCAAUUCUACUUCUUCUCUCCCCCAUUCUUAACUAAAUAAACCUCCCAUUUUCAAAAAGUAAGUAAAAAUAAGCGUAGAAAUUAACUUAGGAAAACGGCUCCUAUAGAGGACUAUAGUUACUCCGGGUGCCUAACACCUUCCCGUAGUAAAACCGACCCCCGAACUUAGAAUCUAAGGGUUUUUUCUCAAUUUUUCCCUUCCCGAGAAAAAAGAGAGAUAUCAACGGUCAAAAGGUUCAAGUCCAAUUAAUGGCUUGGCACCCAAAAACCAUGAUAACAGAAAUGGCGACUUCACUGGGGAAAUAAGUUAGCGGGUCGCGCCUAGUUUUCCUUAGUUUAUAUUUAUGUUUUAUUUUAUUGCUUACAUAUGUGAAUAUUUGUUUGCUUUCAUUUGACGUGUGGGGUGAGAAUAUCAAAAGUCCUAUACCCGGGCUGAGUGAACUUAUGUUUAGGGAGAGAUAUAAUCGACAAUUCGAUCCGGGGGUUGCCUCGUGUAUUGGAUUAUGCGAUCAAUCUCACAUAGCUGAGGCAUUUUGAAGGUGAUAUUGUCGGCGUGUGUUGUCAUGCUUAGGCACUUCACUUUCAAUUGUUCGACGAAGCUAUGAACCGUAGUUACCAAACCCAUCCUAGCCUUUUUAGGACGUAGUGCGGUGGCUAAAUUGAGUGUUGUCUCAAACUUUAGUCGUCACGCGAUACUACACUCAAACUAGACCUUCUCACAAAUAAUCAUGGAACGGGUGUCGUCCUGUACUACCAUGAUAUAUGUGAGAGAGGUUGCAGUUUGGGAACUGUGUUAGAACCUUGGUUACUACUAUCCAGAGCCUUAGUUCACCGGGCGCCGUGUCCAUCCGUUACUUUGAACCUCAACCCACAUUGUAACUAAACAACGCAAUCAUGCAUACAUGCAUUCAUGCAUAAACAUUUUUUCAUGCAUUCAUCGAAGGGUUUUAAACAAAUGGAAAUUUUUGUAAAUAAUCACAGGUAUGAAGAAGACUAAGUGCUACAAGUUCAAGGAAGUGGAUUUGGUUAGUGUGAGAGAGUUAGCUCUCAAGGUCAAGAGUCAAACAGGGUUCCGACUCCGGUAUGGGGGAUUGCUUACUUUGCUCCGAACCGAUGUGGAUGAGAAGCUAGUGCACACUCUAGUGCAAUUUUAUGAUCCGAGCUUCCGUUGCUUCACUUUCCCGGACUUCCAGUUGGUUCCUACUCUCGAGGCUUACUCCAAUCUAGUGGGUCUGCCUAUAGCCGAGAAGACGCCUUUCACCGGUCCCGGGGCUUCUCUUACUCCUCUGGUUAUUGCUAAGGAUCUCUACCUCAAGACUUCCGACGUCUCCAACCAUCUUAUUACCAAGUCUCACAUCCGGGGUUUCACUUCGAAGUAUCUUCUUGAUCAGGCUAAUCUCGGUACUACUCGUCAGGACACACUCGAGGCUAUUCUUGCUUUGCUUAUCUACGGGCUCAUUCUCUUCCCGAACCUCGACAACUUCGUGGACAUGAAUGCUAUCGAGAUCUUUCAUUCCAAGAACCCGGUUCCUACUUUGCUAGCGGAUACCUACCACGCCAUCCAUGAUAGGACUCUCAAGGGCCGUGGGUAUAUUCUUUGCUGCACAUCUCUUUUGUAUAGGUGGUUUAUUUCGCACCUUCCGAGUUCCUUCCAUGAUAACUCGGAAAAUUGGUCCUACUCUCAGCGGAUUAUGGCUCUCACUCCUAAUGAGGUCGUCUGGCUCACUCCCGCCGCUCAAGCCAAGGAAAUCAUCAUGGGUUGUGGAGACUUUCUCAAUGUACCUCUUCUUGGUACCCGUGGAGGAAUCAACUACAACCCCGAGCUUGCUAUGAGACAGUUUGGUUUCCCUAUGAAGUCGAAGCCCAUCAAUCUUGCUACAUCUCCAGAGUUCUUCUUCUAUGCGAAUGCUCCUACCGGACAAAGGAAAGCUUUCAUAGAUGCUUGGUCCAAGGUUCGAAGGAAGAGUGUGAAGCAUCUAGGUGUGAGAUCUGGUGUCGCUCAUGAGGCCUAUACUCAGUGGGUGAUAGAUCGAGCUGAGGAGAUUGGUAUGCCUUAUCCAGCUAUGAGAUACGUGUCUUCGUCUACUCCAUCUAUGCCUCUACCUCUACUCCCCGCGACUCAGGAUAUGUAUCAGGAGCAUCUAGCUAUGGAGAGUCGUGAGAAGCAAGUGUGGAAAGCUCGGUACAAUCAAGCCGAGAAUCUAAUCAUGACUUUGGAUGGUAGAGAUGAGCAGAAGACUCAUGAGAAUCUGAUGUUGAAGAAAGAGCUAGCUAAGGCCCGGAGGGAACUAGAAGAGAAAGACGAGCUGCUUAUGAGGGAUUCCAAGAGAGCCCGAGGACGACGAGACUUCUUUGACAGAUACUGCGAUUCAGAUUCCGAGUCCGAUGAUCUUCCGACUACUUCCUAUGCUUGAGAGCUUUAUUUGUUUACUUUGUUGAAAAUGUUGUGUAAUUUUGAUUAUUUGCAAGAUUUCUAAUUUAUUUUAAAAUCCUUCGAUGAAAAAAAUAAGUCUUUUGCAUUCGCAUUUGCAUAUCAUGCAUCAUGUGCAUCAUACAUUGGUCACAAAGGCUUCCAAGUGCUCACUAUCUCCUGGUUCCUCUGCCGCAGUGUGAAAAGUGGCUCGUGCUCAGAGAGUUUACGAACCAGAUAGAACUGAUCGAACCAGAGAAUACAGAAGAAAGAAAAGGGCUAUGGAAGAAGAGAACGCUCAGCUUCGCACCGAGGUAGCCUCUCUAAAGGAGGAAUUGGCUAAAGCUAAUGACGUCAUGACUGCUCUACUAGCUGCUCAAGAGCAAUCAGCUACAGCUAUCCCUACAACCACAGCUGCACCAGUAACUACAAGCGUGCUCCCUACCACUUCUGCAGACAAUCGCUUUACUAUGCCAGUGGGGUUUCCGUAUGGGCUUCCACCGUUCUUCACUCCCGUUGCUACAGCAAGCACCUCGGGCACUGCUAACAAUGUUCUGAUCCCUGCAACAAAUGCCGCCUCCAUCAUUGCUACUUUGCCACAAACAACAGCAGCUGUCACUGAGCCUCUGGUACACACUCUGCCUCAAGGUAUUAACACCAACACACAGCACAGAAGCAUCCCCGUAACCAAGACUAUGGAAGAGAUGAUGGAGGAACUUGCUAAAGAACUCCGUCACGAAAUCCAGGCCAAUCGAGGGAGUGCAGACUCUGUCAAAACUCAAGACCUUUGCUUAGUGUCAAAAGUGGAUGUCCCUAAAAAGUUCAAGAUUCCGGACUUCGACCGGUACAACGGGCUAACUUGUCCUCAAAAUCACAUCAUCAAAUACGUCCGGAAGAUGGGCAAUUACAAAGACAAUGAUUCCCUUAUGAUCCACUGUUUUCAAGAUAGUCUGAUGGAGGAUGCCGCAGAGUGGUAUACUAGUUUGAGUAAGAAUGACAUCCAUACCUUUGAUGAGUUAGCCACCGCUUUCAAGAGCCAUUAUGGGUUUAACACUCGACUGAGGCCAAAUAGGGAGUUUCUCAGGUCCCUAUCUCAGAAGAAGGAGGAAAGUUUCCGUGAAUAUGCGCAAAGGUGGAGAGGGGCGGCUGCCCGUAUCACUCCUGCUUUAGAUGAGGAAGAAAUGACCCAGACAUUCUUAAAGACCUUGAAGAAAGAUUAUGUUGAGAGGAUGAUCAUCGCUGCCCCGAACAACUUUUCGGAGAUGGUCACUAUGGGAACCCGUCUUGAGGAAGCCGUCAGGGAUGGAAUCAUUGUGUUUGAGAAAGCUGAAUCUUCUACGAGUGCCUCGAAGAGGUAUGGUAAUGGACACCACAAGAAAAAAGAAACGGAAGUGGGGAUGGUGUCAGCUGGAGCCGGUCAAUCAAUGGCUACUGUUGCUCCCAUCAAUGCAGCUCAAAUGCCUCCGCCAUACCCAUAUAUGCCGUAUUCUCAGCAUCCUUUCUUCCCGCCAUUUUAUCAUCAGUACCCUCUGCCACCGGGUCAACCUCAAGUGCCCGUCAAUGCAAUUGCUCAACAGAUGAAACAACAGAUGCCGGUUCAACAACAACAACAAAAUCAGCAAGCUAGGCCUACUUUCCCUCCGAUACCGAUGUUAUAUGCUGAGUUGCUUCCAACUUUACUCCAGAGAGGGCAUUGUACAACUAGACAGGGUAAACCCCCACCGGACCCGUUGCCUCCAAGGUUCAGGUCUGAUCUCAAAUGCGACUUUCAUCAAGGUGCCCUAGGUCAUGAUGUCGAGGGGUGUUAUGCUUUGAAGUAUAUCGUGAAGAAGCUCAUUGAUCAGGGAAAGCUGACUUUUGAGAAUAAUGUUCCACAUGUCCUUGACAAUCCUCUUCCAAAUCAUGCCGCUGUGAAUAUGAUUGAAGUGUGUGAGGAAGUUCCUAGACUUGAUGUCCGCAACGUCGCAACUCCUCUGGUACCUCUACACAUCAAGCUGUGCAAAGCUUCUCUGUUUAAUCAUGAUCAUGCCAAGUGUCUGGGAUGUCUCCGUGAUCCUUUGGGUUGCUAUACUGUUCAAGACGACAUCCAAAGCUUGAUGAAUGAUAAUCUUCUGACUGUCAGUGAUGUUUGCGUGAUUGUGCCGGUCUUUCACGAUCCGCCUGUCAAGAGUGUACCUUUGAAGAAGAAUGCUGAGCCUUUGGUGAUAAGGUUGCCAGGACCAAUUCCUUAUGUUUCGGACAAAGCAGUGCCAUACAAGUACAAUGCUACUAUGAUAGAAAAUGGAGUAGAGGUGCCUCUAGCCUCGUUUGCCACAGUAAGCAAUAUUGCCGAAGGGACUUCUGCAGCGCUAAGAAGCGGGAAGGUCCGUCCGCCGUUAUUUCAGAAGAAGGUAGCUACGCCGACCAUUCCACCAGUUGAAGAAGCAACUCCAACCGUUGUUUCACCCAUUGCUACAGAUGUGAACCAGUCAGGCAAGUCUAUUGAGGAUUCGAAUUUAGAUGAGAUUCUGAGAAUAAUAAAGAGGAGCGACUACAAGAUCGUUGAUCAGUUGCUGCAGACUCCUUCGAAGAUAUCUGUCUUGUCAUUACUCUUAAGCUCUGAGGCUCACAGGAAUACUUUGUUGAAAGUGCUGGAGCAGGCUUAUGUUGACCACGAAGUUACGGUAGAUCGUUUCGGUGGCAUAGUGGGAAAUAUUACUGCUUACAACAACCUCUGGUUUAGUGAAGAAGAGUUGCCGGAAGUGGGAAAGAGUCACAAUCUGGCUUUACACAUCUCGGUGAAUUGUAAAUCAGACAUGAUAUCAAAUGUGUUGGUGGAUACCGGUUCCUCUCUCAAUGUAAUGCCCAAGACGACUCUAGAUCAGUUGAGCUACCGUGGGACCCCGUUGAGGAGAAGUACUUUCUUGGUCAAAGCUUUUGAUGGAUCUCGAAAGAAUGUGCUGGGAGAGAUAGACUUGCCGAUAACCAUUGGCCCUGAGAAUUUCUUGGUUACUUUCCAAGUGAUGGACAUUAAUGCAUCCUACAGUUGCCUGCUGGGAAGACCGUGGAUACACGAUGCAGGUGCGGUAACCUCUACCUUACAUCAGAAGUUGAAAUUCAUAAGGAAUGGAAAGCUUGUUACCAUUCAUGGUGAAGAGGCAUACUUAGUUAGCCAGCUAUCUUCCUUUUCUUGUAUUGAAGCAGGGUCUGCUGAAGGGACUGCUUUCCAAGGAUUGACCAUUGAAGGUGCGGAGCCUAAGAAAGCUGGGACUGCUAUGGCUUCAUUGAAAGAUGCUCAGAAGGUUAUUCAGGACGGUCAGACUGCCGGUUGGGGCAAGGUGAUACAGCUCUGUGAGAACAAGCGUAAAGAAGGUCUCGGGUUCUCCCCGUCAUCAAGGGUUUCCUCGGGAGUCUUCCACAGUGCAGGGUUUGUUAAUGCUAUCUCUGAAGAAGCCACUGGAUCUGGUCUCAGGCCUGUAUUUGUUACACCAGGAGGCAUUGCGACAAAUUGGGAUGCCAUUGACAUUCCUUCAAUCAUGCAUGUUUCUAAGUAAUGUGUCUUGUUGCUUUAAUGCUUUGUUUUCAAAAUAACAAUCCUCUCGCUCUGCCCAAAGCGAGAGUGAUAUUUUCUGUAAGGGCAUGUUUGUUUCGGCAUUGCCGUUGAUUAAUAAAAUUUUGUCGUUUCUUCCACGACUACUUUUUUUUUAGUGCUUUUUUUUUCCCUUGGAAACAAUGGUAAUGCCAGAAAAAACCAAAACGUCUGUAUUUUCUUAUUAAUUUCAAAAAUCUGCAUGAAAAAAAAAAAAACCAUUUUCUAAAAUCAUCCAAUCAUUAUAUGCAGGUUGAACCAUAAUAAACCCGUUGAACACAGUAGUCCUACGGUUCCUCCAAGUUUUGAAUUCCCCGUGUAUGAAGCCGAAGAUGAGGAAGGUGAUGACAUACCAUAUGAGAUUACUCGGUUACUUGAGCAAGAAAAGAAAGCCAUUCAACCUCAUCAGGAAGAGAUUGAGCUUAUUAACAUAGGUACCGAGGAAAACAAGCGAGAAAUCAAGAUUGGUGCUACUCUAGAGGAAGGGGUUAAACAGAAGAUCAUCCGACUCCUCCGGGAAUAUCCGGAUAUUUUUGCAUGGUCCUAUGAAGAUAUGCCAGGUCUAGACCCUAUGAUUGUGGAGCAUCGGAUCCCUACCAAGCCUGAAUGUCCUCCCGUCAGGCAGAAAUUGAGAAGGACUCAUCCUGAUAUGGCUCUCAAGAUCAAGAAUGAAGUUCAAAAGCAGAUUGAUGCGGGUUUCCUCAUGACAGUUGAGUAUCCCGAAUGGGUUGCCAAUAUUGUGCCUGUGCCAAAGAAGGAUGGUAAAGUUCGGAUGUGUGUUGACUUCAGAGACCUGAACAAGGCCAGUCCAAAAGACAACUUUCCAUUACCUCAUAUUGAUGUGCUUGUUGAUAAUACUGCUCAAUCUAAGGUGUUCUCCUUCAUGGACGGUUUUUCCGGUUAUAAUCAGAUCAAGAUGUCUCCUGAAGACAGAGAAAAGACGUCUUUUAUCACUCCAUGGGGUACUUUCUGCUACAAAGUGAUGCCGUUCGGCCUAAUCAAUGCUGGUGCUACCUACCAAAGGGGAAUGACCACUCUGUUUCAUGACAUGAUUCACAAAGAAGUUGAGGUAUAUGUGGAUGACAUGAUUGUGAAGUCAGCAGAUGAGGAGCAGCAUGUUGAAUAUUUAACAAAGAUGUUUGAAAGGUUGAGAAAAUACAAGCUGCGAUUGAAUCCCAACAAAUGUACAUUCGGUGUCAGGUCUGGAAAGUUAUUAGGCUUCAUUGUCAGCCAAAAGGGCAUUGAAGUCGAUCCUGAUAAAGUCCGGGCCAUCCGAGAAAUGCCGGCUCCACAGACAGAGAAGCAAGUCAGAGGUUUCUUGGGACGUUUGAAUUACAUCUCCCGAUUCAUAUCUCAUAUGACUGCAACCUGCGGGCCGAUCUUCAAGCUACUUAGAAAGAACCAGCCUGUUGUAUGGAAUGAUGAAUGCCAAGAAGCUUUUGAUAGCAUCAAGAAUUACCUGCUGGAACCACCUAUCCUUGUCCCACCCGUGGAAGGAAGGCCUUUGAUUAUGUAUUUGGCAGUAUUUGAUGAAUCCAUGGGAUGCGUGCUUGGUCAACAAGAUGAAACUGGAAAGAAAGAGCAUGCUAUCUACUAUCUAAGCAAGAAGUUCACCGAUUGUGAAACUCGGUAUACAAUGCUUGAGAAGACUUGUUGUGCUCUAGCUUGGGCUGCCAAACGCCUGCGUCAUUAUUUGGUGAAUCAUACAACUUGGUUGAUAUCCAGAAUGGAUCCGAUUAAGUAUAUCUUUGAGAAAGCUGCUGUUACUGGAAAGAUCGCACGAUGGCAGAUGCUUUUGUCUGAAUAUGAUAUUGUGUUCAAAACUCAGAAGGCAAUCAAAGGUAGCAUUCUUGCCGAUCAUCUUGCUUAUCAACCUCUUGAUGAUUACCAACCAAUUGAAUUCGACUUCCCAGAUGAAGAGAUCAUGUAUUUGAAAUCCAAAGACUGCGAAGAACCGUUGAUUAAUGAAGGUCCAGAUCCCAAUAGCAAGUGGGGUUUAGUCUUUGAUGGUGCUGUCAAUGCUUAUGGUAAGGGAAUUGGGGCAGUCAUUGUAUCCCCGCAGGGGCAUCACAUUCCUUUUACCGCCAGAAUCUUGUUCGAAUGUACCAACAAUAUGGCUGAGUAUGAAGCAUGUAUCUUUGGGAUCGAGGAAGCAAUUGACAUGAGAAUCAAACACCUCGACAUCUAUGGAGAUUCUGCGCUCGUCAUCAAUCAGAUAAAGGGUGAAUGGGAGACCCACCAUGCUAAUUUGAUUCCUUAUCGUGAUUAUGCGAGACGUUUGCUGACAUAUUUUACAAAGGUUGAGCUGCACCAUAUUCCUCGUGAUGAGAACCAAAUGGCUGAUGCUCUUGCUACUCUAUCCUCCAUGUUUCGAGUAAACCAUUGGAAUGAUGUGCCAAUAAUCAAAAUGCAACGCCUUGAAAGACCUUCACAUGUGUUUGCUAUUGGGGAUGUGAUCGAUCAGGCUGGUGAAAAUGUGGUUGACUAUAAACCCUGGUACUAUGACAUCAAGCAGUUCUUGCUGAGCCGUGAGUAUCCGCCGGGUGCUUCCAAACAAGAUAAGAAGACCCUGAGAAGAUUGGCCGGUAGAUUCCUGUUAGAUGGAAAUAUUCUGUACAAGAGGAACUAUGACAUGGUAUUGUUAAGGUGUGUUGAUGAACAUGAAGCAGAGCAGUUAAUGCAUGAUGUACAUGACGGUACCUUCGGGACCCAUGCUACAGGGCAUACUAUGUCAAGAAAGUUGUUACGAGCAGGUUAUUACUGGAUGGCCAUGGAGCAUGAUUGCUACCAAUACGCCAGGAAAUGCCACAAAUGUCAAAUCUAUGCUGAUAAGAUCCAUGUGCCUCCGCAUGCUCUCAAUGUUAUGUCAUCCCCAUGGCCGUUCUCAAUGUGGGGCAUUGACAUGAUUGGAAGAAUUGAACCGAAGGCUUCAAAUGGUCAUCGUUUCAUCUUAGUGGCAAUUGACUACUUCACCAAGUGGGUUGAAGCAGCAUCUUAUACCAAUGUGACCAAGCAAGUGGUAGCUAAGUUCAUCAAGAACAACAUCAUCUGUCGAUAUGGUGUUCCCAGCAAGAUUAUUACUGACAAUGGUACCAACCUGAACAACAAUGUGGUGCAAGCUCUUUGUGAAGAAUUCAAAAUUGAGCACCAUAACUCUUCUCCUUAUAGACCUCAGAUGAAUGGUGCAGUUGAGGCCGCCAACAAGAAUAUCAAGAGAAUUGUCCAGAAGAUGGUAACUACUUACAAGGACUGGCAUGAGAUGUUACCCUAUGCUCUGCAUGGCUACCGUACUACCGUGCGCAGUUCAACCGGGGCAACCCCUUUCUCUCUUGUAUAUGGUAUGGAAGCAGUUCUUCCUUUGGAAGUGGAGAUCCCAUCUCUCCGUGUGAUCAUGGAAGCAAAGUUAUCCGAGGCUGAAUGGUGCCAAAGCCGGUAUGAUCAGUUGAAUUUGAUUGAGGAAAAACGUAUGGAUGCCAUGGCUCGUGGACAGUCAUAUCAAGCAAGAAUGAAGACUGCUUUUGACAAGAAAGUUCAUCCUCGAGAAUUCAAGGUAGGGGAACUUGUAUUGAAAAGGAGAAUAAGCCAGCAACCCGACCCAAGGGGCAAGUGGACGCCUAACUAUGAAGGUCCUUAUGUUGUCAAGAAGGCCUUCUCUGGUGGUGCUUUAAUCCUUACACACAUGGAUGGUGUAGAACUUCCAAAUCCAGUGAAUGCCGAUAUAGUCAAGAAAUACUUUGCCUAGAAAUGUGAAAAGAACAGCGUGGUAGGUCGAAAACCCGAAAGGGCGGCCUAGGCAAAAAUGCGCUUCCCGGUGGAUCGAAAACCCGAAAGGGCGGUCCAGGCAAAAAUAAGGGACAAAAAAACAAAUAUGAAAAGCUCGCUGAGAUUGUACGCAACUCAGGCAAGAAUGAGCGUCUCGAUGAGCCGAAAACCCGGAAGGGCGGUUCAUGCAAAAAUGAGAUUGAAACAAAAGGCAAGUAACUAUAUCUGGCUAACCACCGUCCCCUUGGGGCAUCUGCAGCUGUUAAUAACCAUCUUCAUCAAAAGCUCCUAUGCUUGCGAAUUCAAAGUUUCCAGGAAAUGUCAUGAUUACUGUGUUCAAUGUAUCACCAACCAAUAAAAUUACCAUUUUCCAAGCUUUGUAAAUCCGUGGAGUCACGCCUUCGGCUGACUACCACUCUUAUACAUCAAAUUGAGCCUGUGCUUUUGUUUAAAAUUCUAUUUUCUUCUACUUUCAAAGCUAUAUACAAAACAUUUUCUUUCUAUUUUGAUAAUGACAAUGCUUGAAACAAACAUUUUUGAAAACUGAAAACUUUUUGUUUAUUUUGAAAAGCAAACCUGAGCAACAGGGUACAUUCAAAUGAAACAUGCAUGAGCGAGAGUAUGUUGGUGUCUAUUUCAAUAUAUGUUACCAGCAGGUUCUCCUCCAAGAUAAUCUGUGGUCAAUGGCAAGAAUGAAAAAACAGAAUGAAAAUGCAUGAAAAUUAAUGAGCUCGCUAAGUUGACAACCCGAAAGGGCAGUUCAGGCAAAAAUGGGGCAUUGAAAAGAACUUAUUUCCCCGGUGGAUCGAAAACCCGAAAGGGCGAUCCAGGCAAAAAUGGGAUGAAAAAAAAUGAUGAAUGAAAAUGAGAAUAUAACAUGCAAAAGCAUUGACCACAGAUGCAAUGUCUACAACAUACCCAGCGCUGAAAUGCCCAGCACAACGGCGUUUUCCCCGGUCGGGUCUUCCAAGAUUCUAUCCCCAGCAAGAUGCAUAGCUACCUGCCCUCAGCUAUGGUUCCGACACAUCUCCCAACGACGUCAUCUCCAAAGAGGAUUUCCAAGAAUGUGUAAUAUAGCACGAGCCACUACGUGCCCAAUACUCUGAUGUCUUGUCUUCCCCGUGAAGUCGUGCCUACAAAAUGCCAACAGUCAUGCAUUACAAGCAUUCAUACAUGCAUAAUCAUGCAUAUUACGUGCCCAUGCAUUUAAUGAAAUUGUUAUAUCAUCCAUGCAUAUUGCAUUUCCAAUGUCAACAUCAGUCUCAAUUCAAUACUCAUGUCAGGUUCUCUGUCAAAACCUUGUGAGCCAAUAAUAUCAGUCAAUUUUUACCUUUCAAUUCAAAUCGACGUCAAGUCAAUCUCAAUCUAUAUUUUGUCAACAAACCAAUCCCCAGUGAAUGUGUUUCUGUUUGGUCAAGUUACUAGUUCGCAUCCAAGAACGACUUGUACCCGUUUACUUUUCAAUGUUAUCGGUCGAGUGCCUAGCUCAAUCCAAGAGCAGCUUGUACCUGGCUAUCUGUUUCUGUCGGUGGAGUAACCAGUUCGCAUCCAAGAACAAGCUCGCACCUGUCUUUUUGCCUUGCUUUCAGUCGAGUAACCAGUUCGAAUCCUUAAGAACAACUCGUGCCUGCCAAUUUUACAUGUUUUCAGUCGAGUCACCAGUUCGAAUCCGUAAGAACAACUCGUACUUGCCAAUUUUCUUUUUUUUCCCAGUCGGGUCACCAGUUCAAAUCCAUAAGAACAACUCGCACUUUCCAAUAUACCCAAGUGAGUUACCAGUUCGAACCCAUAAGAACAACUCAUGUUUGUCCAAUAACCUCUAUCCCCUGUGGAGUUACCAGUUCGAAUCCAUAAGAACAACUCGCAGUUGUCUGUUUGUUUCAUUCCCGGUCAAGUGGCUAGUUUGAAUCCAAGAGCAGCUUGUACCUGUCCAACUUGUUUCUAGUUUCCCGUUACUCUGCUAUUCACUAUCUUUGUCAAUGUCUACCAAUCCCGCAAUGGAUACGACAUUUUUUGUUAAUUCCAAUCCCCAUGAGGUCUUGCAUUCAUAAUCCAAAUGAUGCAUGGCAUGCAUAUUAUUUGAAAAUGGGUAGGCGUAUUUUUACGUCCAAACACAGUGCAAAUGCUAAUAUUUAAGUAUCUUCGUCCUGUCAAGCCAAAGACUCCGUCUCUUGACUCUCCAGACAAAGAAACUUAAAUAGGGGCAGCUGUUAUACCCUGUUUUUGGACCUAAAAAUACUGGGCCUAAUUUCAUUUCAAACUUUGUCAAAUGUCAAAUUUCAACUGCACAGUUCAAUUUGUCUCUGCUACGCAGUGUUUUCAAUCACAUUUUUACCUAUGUUUUUCUUGCAUAAGACCUUUCAAGAUGUCUUUACUUGUCUUGUAAGUCAUUUAAAAGUGUCUCUGAAUCAUUACAUUGCUUUUUCUACAAGUUUAUUUCAAAAUUUGCAAAAAGUCAUACAGAAGGGUAUUUUGGUCAUUUCCUGCAGUGGGACCCAUUUUCAUCCUUGUGACUGUUUCUGAGUCUUUUCAAAUUCAUUUUUAACAUUUCAUCAGUAAACCCUGUUUAAAUUCAUUUCAAAUUCGCGUCUGAGUCAGUGUCAGGUCAAUUUGAAUCUGUUUAGGUCGUUUUUAGCCCUAGGGGCAUUUUGGUCAUUUCACACGAAAUUUUGGCAUGGGGAGGUUACUUUGAAGUACCUCAUUUAGGCCAUUGGUUCGUUUUAGUCCGUUUUGUCAAUUUUAUUUGUGUUUCGCUUUACGUUUGGUCAAAUUACCAAUUUUAUUUUAAUUUUUAGUGUUUUUAUUAUUUUUGCAUUUUUGUCCUCAAAGAGUUCCAAAAUUGCAGUUCAGUCCACCUUUUUUUAAUUUUCAUUUCAGUCUUUUUUGUCAAAUUGCAGUUUAGUCCUUGAAGUUUUAUUUUUUGCAGAAAAGUCCAAAGUUCAUUUUUCAGGUCCAGGCCGUGCCAUUUCCAUACAAAUCCAGGUGUCACAUUUUCAUUGGCUCAAGUGUACACAUGUCAACUAUAUAAGCAUUGAGUCAGAAUCAAAGCCAUUGAUCACACGCCACUUCACCAAAACAGAUUCAAUUUUUCUCUUUCUUGUCAGUUAGAUCAAACCAAGAAAAUCACAGAGAAAUCACCAAGAACACAAGAACCCUAAGAUUUCCAGAACCAAAUUCAUACACAAAUUCAUUGAUUUUCACAUCAAUCCUCAGAGAUUCGUGUGAAUCUUCAUCACCGGAUUGAAGAUUUCCCCUACAAUUCAAAGUGCGAGCUCACAUUGAAGCAAGCUCAAGCACUGAUCAUAGGGAUUUUUCACGCAGAUUCAAAAAACGUUGAAGCAAGCUCAAGCACGUAAUCACAGAGAAGCAGAGAAAGAAUCAGAGAAGAUGAAGAUGAACCGGUAAACCGAUUUAUUUUCGGUCCAAAAGCAAGCAAAAUCAUCAAAACCGUCAAGAACAUUCAAGUUUUUCCCAAAGGUUUUCCUCCAUUAAAGGUUUCAACCAAAACCUUAGGUAAAACUCAUACUCUUUUUCAAAAGCAAUAUCACUGUUAAACCUAAAAAUCACGCAAGCAAAACAGAUCCAAAGGUUCCAGAAUUCAAAGAAAACCAUAACCGUAAACAUCAAAAUCUAGAUCCGUAAGGAUCAACGUUUUGAAAGCGAAAACAGGCGUCAAAAAGUAAUCAAACGACGAAACGAUGUAGAUCUUUAAGGAUCUAAAUGAUCUCAUUCAAAAAAAUCAAAAAUCAUUUCAAAACCGUAAAAGCUUUUUCAAGAUCUACGUCGUUCCAAGCCGUUUUCAAAAAAACAAAUGCCGGAUUCGUGUUUAGGGUAAGAAGGCGAAUCGUUUGAUGUAGAAACUUUGAAGUUCUGGAAAAUUAGGUCGCCGGAGUGGUUUAGGCGCGCCGGAGAAGAUGAAGCUUCCGGCGGACCUUCAAGGUCUCCGCCGUGGCUUCAUCCUCACCGGCGGUGAGGGUUUAGAGAGAGAUGAGAGAAGAGAGAAGAGUUAGAGAGAGAAAGGUGUGUGACAAAUGAAAAAACCGGCGCGUUAGGGUUUUAUAUAGGGCGCUAGACCGGACCGGUUCAAGACCGGUCCAAUCCCCUGCGUAGUGAGCCCUUAGAUCUAGGGUUUGGGACCUUGGAUCAAUCCAACGGUCCCUGAGUAUCCCUGUGAGAUCCGUUUCCUCUGGUUUUGGGCUGGGCCUUCUGUUGUACGUUUUUUUGCUUCUUUUGCUGCUUGCACCAUUUUCUUUGCUAUUUGCACCUGUGGCCUGCUCAUUCUUGUUUACAAAAUUUCUAAAAAAAAUCCUAGUUGUUUCUUGGUACAUUUUUGGCAUUUUUAUGGUGUUUUCCUGCAUGUAAAAAAUAUCAAAAUGGCAUGAACAAAUUUCCAUGUGUUUUUACACUUUUGGUAUACUUUUUGCUAUGUUUUUGUUCUUGAUACUUUGAUAUGUGUUAUGAAUAAAUGAUACCAUAUCUUAUGAUGAAUAUGCCUCUGGACAUGUGCUUCUUUUUGCUGUUUUGAAUAUGAUUUUAUGGAUUUCUUGUUUUACAAGCAACAAAUGUUUGUUUUAGAGAAUAAAGUGUCAAAUUUCUCUAUGAAUUUGGUGUGAUACCUUGCUUGCAUAUGUUUCCAUUAAUUUCAUGUCAUGGCUUGAAACCAAAUUUCUUGCAAAAUUGCCAUGAUGUGAUGAUUAUGGGUUGCAAGCACCUUUAGGUAUCACAUCAAAGUUUUUAGGUUCAUUGCCACUUUAUUACCUUUUCUUUGCCAUUUUUAUGCAUUUCCUUUUGAUUACUUCCUACUAUUGUGUGCUUUAUGAUUACUAACCAUUUCAUCUCAUGUGCCAUACCUUUCAUAGCAUUCCACCACUCUCUCCACUUUCUUUAGCUUAGCAUUUAUUUUAUUUUUUUACAAGUUUUAAUUCAUUUGGUAAUGUAAUUUGUUAUCAUUGGUUUGUAGCUUGGCAAAGGGGCCAUAGAAUGUAUUUAGGCAAUUUUUGUAAUAUGGACUAUGGACACUAUGGCGCACCGACACGCACACACUCACCUUAGAUGUAUGCAUAGGAUUGUAUGGUUAGACAAGCGUUUAGGUUUUAAACCCUUAGAGAAAAUCCAUCCUUUUUCCAAAAAAAACAAUUGAACUUCACUUCAAAAAUUUUCAUAAUAAAUAUGAAGUCAACACUUCAUUUUUUUCCUUUCUUUUUUUCUUAAGAAAAAUUCAAUCCAUCUUAAUCAUUUAGACUUCCUUUCUAAUCACUAAUCAAACCUCGCUUUUUUUGCUAAAUCUAAUGCUCAUGAAGCCUCCCAAUCUCCUUCUUCAAAACCUUUUUUUUCAAAACUUAAAAUCAAACAAUUAAAACAAAAACAAGUCUUUUUAGCAAGAACUACGAACGGUUUUGAUCCCUUAAAAGGGUACGUAGGCAAUGAGUCAAAACUCAUCCAAGCCGAAAUAAAAUCCAAUUCUACUUCUUCUCUCCCCCAUUCUUAACUAAAUAAACCUCCCAUUUUCAAAAAGUAAGUAAAAAUAAGCGUAGAAAUUAACUUAGGAAAACGGCUCCUAUAGAGGACUAUAGUUACUCCGGGUGCCUAACACCUUCCCGUAGUAAAACCGACCCCCGAACUUAGAAUCUAAGGGUUUUUUCUCAAUUUUUCCCUUCCCGAGAAAAAAGAGAGAUAUCAACGGUCAAAAGGUUCAAGUCCAAUUAAUGGCUUGGCACCCAAAAACCAUGAUAACAAUAGUCAUAUGAUCAUUCGGGCAUAUUCUUAUCUUCUAGAGUUUCCUGAGAAGGUUAGAGCUUUACUUGGACUUCCAAAACACUUGCGGAAGAGUUUUCUAUUAGAAUCGAUGGUUGGUCAAGGUUACUCGUCAAGGUAAUUUAUCCAUUUUCUCAACAAGUCAAGGUUAUAUCUUGGCAUUGGUGUAUGAGUAGGUUGAAGAUUGCAGCUUGUUUACUAAUGGUUGUUUCAUCUCUACAUAUUGUUUUUGGUCUCUAAUGAGGAUCUUGAAGUCCUAGAUUAUGACAUUAGUAUAGAAUUUUGUAAUCUUGUAUUGGGAUUUAGUUACUAGCAUAUUUGACACAUUUGUCAUUUUUAUGUCAUGUAUUGAUAUAACAGGAUAUGUUGCAUUUUCAUUUUUAAAUGUCUUAUUUACAAGUAAAAUAUUUGUCAAAAACUUUCUCUAAUUUAUUUGAAAAUAAAUAAGUUGUUUUGAAUAAGCGGUUUUUGAAAAAGAUGUCCUAAUAAUCUGUUUUGCAUAAAUAAGCUGUUUUGAAUAAGCUGUUUUUUUAAAAGAGGUUGUAAUAAGCUGUUUUGCAUAAAUAAGCUGUUUUGAAUAAGCUGUUUUUUGAAAAGAGAUCGUAAUUAGUUGUUUUGUAUAAAUAAGUUGUUUUGAAAAAAGAGAUUGUAAUAAGUUGUUUUGCAUUAAUAAGCUGUUUUGAAUAAGUUAUUUUUUUUUAAAAAAAAAAAAGAUCGUAAUAAUUUGUUUUUCAUGAGAUAAGCUAUUUUUUAAAAAGAGACCGUAAUAAGUUGUUUUUUAUAAAGUGAUUGUAAUAAGUUUUUUUUUAUUCUAUAUAUAAUUUGUUUUUCAUGAGAUAAGCUCUUUUGAAUAAAUUAGAAGAUAAAUUACAAAGUAUAACAUAAUGUAUUAAUUUUAAGAGAAAAAAGGGUAAAAUAGGAAAAUUAUAACAUAAGCCCUUCAUCUUCUUUCCUUGUUGGUGUUUUAACUCCCAAACAAGGGGAAGGUUUUCCUCCUUUCUCCCUUCCUUCCCUUUCCUUCCCUUCCCCUCCUUAGCCUUUCCUUUCCUUCCCCUCAAAACUCGCAAACAAAGCCUAAGAGAACUAGUAACCGACAAAACAUAAGAGUAUGAAUAAGCUUAAAAUUGCAUCAUAUCUUUACUAUGAGUAGUGUUGGAAUCCGCAUGAUUGUUUGGCGAGAUAGUGGUUUUUCAACGGUUAGCUGCUAGGUUUGGUUCAUAGUCACAAAAUUCGCAACCGUUGCUAGGGAAAUGCGAAUUGGGAAAAUUAAUUGCUUAUUUUAGCUACCCUUGAAUCGUAAUUUUUAUUUUUUUUUUUUGUUGAUGAAUUGUUUUGGAAAAAAUUAUUAACAUACAUUAUAUUAUUUGCCUCAAAGAAAAUAAUGAAAUCUAGUAGUCGUAAAACUUUUUUUUAAGAUUUACCAAUUGCUUACACUAUACUUAAUUGGUAGUACCAGUACUACUAUUACGAACCGACCUCUACCGAAACUACAUACCUCUGCAUGUAUCGAAUUCUUCUCAUGUUGUGUAAUGCGAACUCGUACCACAUACCAAUACGAAUUACAAAUUAUGUUGAUUAUGGUUUGAUUCGGUAGUUGUUGUGUUGUCCGGUUACCAGUCCGACUGGGAAAUGAUUCUAUUGCAGCAGCUGUUUUCUGUAUAUUAGUUGUGGACACAGUUUUGGUGUUGUUGUGUCGUUUGGGUCUGCUGGGGAAUGGCUAGCAGUUGUAAUUGGGUGGGGUGUUUUUUCUUUCUUCUGCUGUUGUUUUGUGUUGUCUUUAGCACCACCAGCAUCUCCUCUUGAGAUGCUUGGGAGCUUUAAAUAAAAACAUACAUAUUUUUGUCAAAAGAAUCAAGCAAGUGAUAAAAUAUCAUUUCAUGAUUGUUAUGGACAGCCUAGAACACGUCAACUACAGUUGGCAUUCUUCUCAUUAAUACUAUACUAUCAGCUCGGUCUUUAAAUACAAUACUUUAGUUUUUGAGAGGAUAUUUUUAGAGUUAUUUUUAAUAAUGAAAGGAUAUUUAAAUACUUUAGCCUUUUUUUAAUAGUUAUUGUAAAAACAUCUUUUUUUAAUACUAGUAUUCUAUUAACAUUUUCAAUCGCAAUAAUUAUUACUUUUCCAAAAUAUUUUAAACUUAUUUUUACUUUAAUAAAUACGUAAACAAUGAGGAUUAAGUGUCGUUUAUCAUUUCAUGAUUCUUAUAUUAUGAACCAGAACUACCCCUCCGUUUCAAAAUGAGUGUCGUUUAAGUUUUUACAUGACAAUUUUACUAAACUAACCAAUUUUACUAUUGACGUAACUCUUUUUUUUUUUUUGUCGUGGUCGAGGUUUGAACCUCUGACCUUGCAUAUUUUUAUGCAUUAUCCAUACCAACUGAGCUAAGCUCACGAGGACAUGGAUGUUUUAGAUAUAAUUAAUUAAUUAGAGGGAACAAUUGAAAGUAAAAUAAUAAUUCAAUAUUGAAAAGUGUAAAUGACAUUCAUUUCGAAAUAAUUUUUUUUAUUUAAAACGAGACUUAUUUUAAAAUGAAUGAAGUAUUAAACUCAUGCUAUCGAGACCUAGAUCCAAAUCCAUUAAUUUCUACAUUGUACUUGAGUGGACACCUUUGAACAAAAGAUGCCUCAAAGUACCUUCUAACUUCUCACAUUAAAUAUUAUAAAUAGAAGAUACCUAACAUAUAGCAAAACACAUCCAUCACUCAACAAUUCACACAACAAUGUCUAUUUUUCUUAACCCCAAUACCUCAUUUCUCACUUUAUUGUUCUUUUCAUUUUCCACCUUAAUUGCACAUGCAAUUGUUCCACAAAAUGAAACCUUUAAAUUUGUAAAUUCAGGUGACCUUGGAGACUUCAUUGUAGAAUAUGGAGGUGAUUACAGAAUGAUAAGCAUAUUCAAUGCUCCAUUCCAAGUUGGUUUCUACAACACUACUCCAAAUGCCUUCACUCUAGCACUUCGAAUCGGACUUCAACGAUCGGAGCAGCUUUUCCGGUGGGUAUGGGAAGCAAAUAGAGGCAACCCAGUUGGUGAAAAUGGUACUUUUUCAUUAGGUGCUGAUGGAAAUCUUGUGUUGGCUAAUGCUGAUGGAAGAAUUGUUUGGCAAACAAACACUUCCAAUAAAGGUGUUGUUGCAUUUAGGUUACUCUCAAAUGGUAACAUGGUUUUAAUUGAUGCCAAAGAUAAAUUUGUUUGGCAAAGUUUUGACCAUCCAACAGAUACCCUUUUGGUAGAUCAAUAUUUAAAACCUAAUGGACCUUCAAAGCUUGUUAGUAGACUUUCAGAAAAAGAAAAUGUUGAUGGCCCUUAUAGUUUGGUUUUGGAACCUAAAGGUUUGGCUUUAUAUUAUAGGAGUACAAAUUCUCCUAGGCCAAGUAAAUAUUGGUUUUCUUCUUCUUGGUUUUCAUUUGAAAAAGGCUCAUUAGAAAAUGUCACACUUAAAUCUGAUCCAGAAUCUUUUGAGUUUGGAUUUGAUUUUCAUGUUACCAAUUCUACCACUUCUGGCAAUAGUAUCAUUGGUAGGCCAGUGAAUAAUAGUACCUUAACAUAUCUUAGGCUUGGAAUUGAUGGUAACAUUCAAUUUCACACUUACUUUCUAGAUGUACGCAGUGGUGUUUGGAAAGUGACAUUCACUCUCUUUGAUGAAGAUGAAGAUCUAGAUGAGAGUGAGUGUCAAUUGCCAGAGAGAUGUGGGGAAUUUGGGCUUUGUGAGGAUAAUCAAUGUUUUGGUUGUCCAUUGGAGAAUGGAAUAUUUGGUUGGAGUAAUAAGUGUAGCCCUAAGCCUUUAGGAGGAGUAUGCAAAGCAAGUGAAUUUCAUUACUACAAAAUUGAAGGAGUUGAGCAUUACAUGAACAAAUACACUAGUGGUGAUAUAGUAAGUGAAGAUGCAUGUGGAAACAAAUGUACCAAUGAUUGUAAGUGUGUUGGGUAUUUCUACCAUAAGGAUGAAUCAAGGUGUUGGAUAGCUUAUGAUCUUCAAACUCUUACUAGAGUUCAAAAUACCACACAUGUGGGUUAUAUUAAGGUGCCUAAUAAGUAAUAAGAUAAGCUUAGAUUUUUCCAUGGGAAGGUCUUGGUAUUUUUUUUUUUUUUUUUGGUAUUGUAUUUUAAUUGUAUCAAUUUAAUUUUGUUAUUUCCUACUAGUUGUUUUAGAAUGCAAUAAAGUUGUGGUUUAUCUCUUUGUUCUCCACGUGGAGAAGGACUUGUAAUAUGGGUACUAUAAAUUAAGAAGUGUGUUAUGAAAGUGUUAUUGUAAUUGUCUUAAUAUAAUUCAUAUUCUUCUCUCAUUCCAUUUAAAAUUACUUGAAUUGGUAGGCCAAGGAUUAAAGUCAUUUCUUUAUAUAAUUUGUUCCUAGUUUGACAUUAACAAAUAUCGAUUCAAUUCAAAUAAUAUUUCAGGGUUUUAACUUCAUUGAUUAUAUAAGAUUACAAUGGUCGUAAGGGAAAACUAAGAAUAUAAUAUAAUAUAGCUUAUGAAAGAUGGGAAAAUUGUUCAUGAUCGAUCAGAAAAAUAUCAAAUUCUAAGACGAUUUCAUAUAGAUAAGAAAAAAUAUUCAUGGAUCUGAGAAGAUGGUUCGUUGGCUUGAGAUCUGAUGUGUAAAGGAAUUGAGCUCUCGUCGUCCGUUGCAAGCUACAUUUAUUCGUUCUCCACCGAAAGGGUGUGGUGUACCUGCACGUGCUCUAUCGCCCAAGUCCCUAAGGAGUUCAAGAUAUUAUAGUGUGCGACUUAAAAUAGAGUAAGAAUGGUGAUACCUUACUCAAUGCUAAGCAUGAGUAUAUGUAGUGGAUAAUUAAGAUUUUGACUAUCAAGCCUUCACAUGAAAAAUUUUCCCUGGUCCUUUGGCAUUAGAUCCGGACCGGAUGGUACUUAGGGCGUGCCCGUCGUAUGGUGUCGCCUGCUCCUAGGUUUUGCAUCGGACCCAAGUCCAAAAGAAUGGGUACUGACCCAGUACAGAACAGUACUAAUAUUUGUCAUUAAAAGAAAACUUCUUAUUAUUGGUCUUUGCUCUAGUAACAAGACAAAUACCCUCUAACCAAGUAAUUGGAUUUGAGUAGUCGAAUUCCACUAAAGAACGAAUUGUUUAUGAGAUCCUAAAUUCAAUUUUUAGGUAGAACAAUUAUUUAUCAUACUUUACUUAUAUCUCGGCCAAACUUCAUAUUUUUAAAGUCCAUUCCCUUAUGAACCAAAGGUCAACAAAAAAUAAAAUAAAAUGGAUAACCAUGUAGUUUGGGGUAAAACAACGCUUUCAAGUUUCAUUCUAACAUAUUCUUCAAAAAAAAAAAAAAAAACAUUCUAACUUAGUUAUUUCUUCCAUUUACCUUCGUUUUUGUGUGCUUAAUAUUUAUUUUUCCAAUACGUGAAAAUGUUGUUAAUGAUGACACUUUCUGAUAAGUGUCGAAGGUGCGGAUAUAUGUUGGUACUUGACUACACCAUAGUGAAUGUCUUCGGGGUAUACUUUUAAGUAUUUUAAAUUAAGUAUUCGGAGUAAUUAUUUUUUUUAAAUGUCAAAGUUUUUAAUUUCUAAUGUACUAAUUACACAAACUUUCAUAAAAAGUUAUAAUUUAAGGUCCUUAACUAAUGUCUUGGAAGCAUUAGUUAACAUUUCCGAUAGUAUAAUAAUAACGAUAUAGAUAUUUGAUACAAGAGUUUUACAGGUUGGUUUACUCAAACACAAUGGUAAGUAUAUCAGUUUUAUCAAACAAAUAAAAUAUUGUAUCCAUAAAGACCGCGCUUAUUUAAUUUAAGUUUGUAUUGAUAGAUUUUCCGAACAAGUUGUUUACAAAAGUGUUUGAGUAGUUUGAUUCAAAGUAAACUGAAUAAAAAUAGAUAGAGUUAUGGAGGGAUUGAAUUUCAAUAACGAUUACUCAUAUGUUUCAUCUUAAUUGAUUGUAUACUUUUUAUGUCCUAGAUAUAACUCCACCUUUUCAUCAGCGUAUGUCUCCGGCUCAGGUUAACGACGUGAAAUAACAUAGAAACAACUGACAUUUGAUACACGAAAGCCAAAUAGCCGAUCGAAAAGAUAUAUAUGAAUAUAGACCUUCCCGCGAUCUCUUAAGCGAUAGCACCUGUUCAUAAUCUAAACCAUGUCCCUUAGAUAGCCAACCUUACUAGGCCUGACUAAAUCAAAAGAUCAAUUGUGGCACACUACAUUGGCGACAAAACAUUAAGAAAAGAUUUAGACUAAAAUUAUGUUGAAAAUAUAAAUCAUAUACAACCAUCCAAAUUAAGCGUAUUACAUAUAUUCCUAGUUAUUUAUAUCAAAUCACAACACAAGAGAGAGUUUAGUUACUCAUGGGUUGCAUGACUAACAAAAGAGAGUUGUUGAAUCUUAGAGAAGUAUCAACAAACUUGUUUCCAAGCUUCCCUAGCCUCCCAAUAGCUCCGGCUAACCUCAACAAACUUGAUUAAUUCUUACAAAUGACCUACACCUCUAUUUAUAAGGGUUAUUAAACAUCAGAUUCGCUAAACACAAAAUGCUUUCUUAGUUAAUUGAGGUUACUUUAAAGGAGGGAAAGCUCAGUUGCCUUUAGAUAUUAUUCCUUAAACCGCAUUUGCUCGCCAAGCAAGCUUUUUGUUCUUAGCGAACCGACUUUGGCAUUUCCUUCCAAAAUCGUGUGAUUAGGCUCGCUUUCACCUCGCCACGCAUGCUUGGUGAAUCCUACUUGGCUCCAUAAGUCUUUAGGAGGCAAAGACAACUUUGAUACGUGCCCUUGCCUUCCUUUACUCCGCAUUAGUACAAUCUUUGUCUUAAACCUGUAAAAUUGUAUAGAAACUAGACAUAAUAAUUUUAGGGGACAUAUAGAAAAGAUUGGAUGGAUCAACGUAAAGAUUAAUGGUUAUAUCAAGUGCAGUAAUUUUGAUUUGGAAAUUGGUUUUUAGAAAUUGAAAACUAGAUGUACGGAAAUUAAUGUUUUGCUUCUCAUUAAGGAGAGAAGAAAUAAAACAAGCUUGCAACCUACUCCCUCCGUCCCAAAUUGUACGACGUUUUGACCAUUUCACACGUAUUAAGAAAUGUAAUUAAUAUUGUGUGGGGAAGAGAAAUUAUAAGUUGUUUUACAAAAUUAUCCUUAAUAAAUGAUAUGGAAAAGAUAAAUGAAAUAAUUGAAAGAAGAGAGAGUAAUUAAUAAUUAAGGAUAUAAUAGGAAAAAUAACAUUAAUAUUUCAUUGGUAUUGUAAAGCGACAUAUAAUUUUGGACAAAAUUUUUUUUUCAAAGCGACAUACAAUUUGGGACGGAGGGAGUAAAAGAUUAUUAUAAUUAAAAUUUCAUUUUUUUUUUAAGGGAAUUUCAUUAUUUUAUUGUCAAUAUAACUUCUUCUUUUUUCAAUAAUGUCGAUAUACGUUACACCUUAUAGUUCAUAUUAUUGUCCAUAAUGUUAUUGGGUCAAUAAACCUUUGGUCCAACUAAUAUGCAGUAAUAUUUACUUUUUGACUAUUAUUUUAUCCACAUUAUUACCUUCUCAUGAGCCUUAUUUUUUUUCAGAAAUAUCUAUGGGGUUUUGAAUUAUAUAAUUUGAACACAGGAUGUGUUCGGAUUAUAUAUACAAGCAGCAAUUAGAAUCUCUCUUAUUUUAGCAGUUGCGGAUGCCGAAUUUCACUUUUAAAAACAAUAAAAAACAAAGUAAAAAAAUUAAUAAAACAUGUCAAAUAAAAUAAAAAAAAUACCACAUAAUUUUUUAAAAAUCAAAUAAAACUAAUGUAAAUUUUUUCAGAUUUUGCUAAGAAUAUAAGAAAAAAGAAAAAAGAAAAAAAAAAAAAAAAAAGGACUGAACGAAAGAAUUUUGGAUUUUGAGGGACGGAGACCUGUAAGAAGUCACUACUAGGAGAGUCAUGAUCCUUGAUAUUUUUCUAAUUUUUGGGAAAGUUUCAGAGCAAUCUGAUUAAGUAGCCUGAAAACAAGAUUUUUGAGUGAGAACAUCUAUCAAUGACCUAAAACAUAAGUAUGAGAGCUAGGAAGACUAAUAUGGUCCUUAAAUUGGCUAUCCAUGAUACAAACAGACUCAGAAUUUAUGUUGAUACAGUGCAGAUUAUAAAUCUGAAAAAGGAUGUUUUCCCCCGAAUAAGGGUGUUUAGGGGGUGUUUGAAUUCUAUAAUCCGUAAAAAAAAAAAGCAAGGAACGUAUCCUAUUUUUUGGGGUGUUUGGAUUAUAAAAUCUGAAUUGGUAAAAAAAAAAUUAUUUUUUUCCACUCCAAAACAAAAGGAAAACUCAAUUCAGAUUAUAAAAUAUGAAAAUCACAUGGACAUUUCAUAAUAUAUAAAAAAAAAAAAAAAAAAAAAAAGGGUGCGCGAGAAAUGGGUAGAAGGGAAAAAAUAUUCUUACUUUUUCAUACUAUCCAAUGGGUCAUUGUGCACAAGGUUAUUGGGUCAAUGUAAUAUGUGCUACAAAACUCUUAGAAUCAAUUAAAUAACAUGAAAAUCAUGGCCAUAGGAGAAGUGAAACUCUCCCCUCAUUCCCCUUAUUUUCGCGUGCCCUACAAACUGCUGAAAAUAUAUUUGUCUGAGUUUUAAAAUUCGGUCGCGUUUCUUUUUUGGAUUAUAGAAUUCUAACGAGAAAUAAAAAAUAAACAUAAAUGUGUAUUUUAAACAUCCAUAUUUUACAAUCUUAACACACUGACAUCGAGAAAGCGCAAACCAAAACAGAAAAUAACUAAACCAAUGAAAACUAUAAAAAAAAUUGUAUCAAACUAUCCUUGCGUAUAGAAAUUGUAUUUAGUUCUUUGAUCCCAUACACUUUAACUAAUUUUUAGGGAGAUCUCGAGACUUUUAUCUACAACUUUCACAUCAUCGUCAACUUUUCUCGUAAUCUUCAAUCUUCUUAUCAAAUCUUUGACGUUCUUAUCAUCUUCCAUCUUCUUAUUAUUUCUAAUUUUCUUAUCCUCUCCCGGUAUCUCAUCAUCCUAAACACGCUUAAGUUCAUUAUACUUACACAUUCUAGCAAAAUGUUUAAACUCUAGAUCUAUGCUUCUUGUUGACGAUGAUUUCUUCACAGUCAACCUAUAUGCGUUCUAGCAAAAGCUUAUAAAAAGCUACCUUGUGCUCCAAGUAUGUUUUCAAUGAAAAACUCUUGGAAAAUAUUAGUAACACUUUUUUACAAUAUAAAUAAAAAUAGCAAUGCUAUAUAGUGGUAAAGAAAACACAGCGAAUGCUUCCCAAAACAAAAUUAACCAAUGACAGUUUGUUGUUUGGCGGAAUACAAAGGAGGUACUCCCUCCGUUCUAAAAUAUAAGUAAAUUUGAUUUUUUAGGUUCAUUCAAUUAAUGAUGUAUGUGGUUCAUAUUAUGGACCACAUACAUCAUUAAUUGAAUGAACCUAAAAUGUAAAAUUUGCUUAUAUUUAAAAACGGACGAAGUAUUUGCUAAAAAACGGAAAUAAAAAAACAAUCCUCCAAUCAUCAUUACUAACCAGGUAUUGCCGUGGUUUUUUCGAUUGACAUUCUAUCGGGAGAAAAAGCAUUUCCCAAAUAAAAAAGUUGACACUGAAACACAAUUUUGGUUACUAACUGUAGAAAGAAAUUAAUUUUUUCUACAAACCUUAUCUUAUCCAAGGAUCCGCAUAAAUGCUACCAUGUUCAACCAAAUCAUAAGCAAGUGAUAAAAUAUCUUUCAUAUUGUCACGGACCACGGCAAUAUAUUUCAUUUGGUAUCAUUCUCACCAAUACUAAAAUGGUGAAUACAACCAUCAUCCAAUUAUUCAAUGUUAAUGUUAGGCCAUAUUAUUAUCAUACUUUUAUAUUAAUUUAUUCUAAAAUAAAUUUUAAUUUUACACAAAUUUUAUAUACAAAUUAUGAAUAUUCAGUCAAACUAUCAACUAAAAUUUAAACCAUAUGCAUAAAGUUUUUAAUUAGCCUUUAAGUUUAUAUUAAAUUUAGAAGUACUAGGUGUUCUGGACGGGCUAGAUGGUCAAUCUUACGAUGACACGUGGAUAGGGUGUCCUCUGGAUCAAGGCGCAUCACCUGUGUAAGCACGCUAGUGCUGGUGCACCUCACCUUACUGAAGCACGACCCGUGGAUCCUCUGCCGUACAUGUCGCCUCCAACAGCCCAGACGCCGCAUUUCACGGAAGCAGUUAGCACCUCCUUCCUAUAUAUAUAAGGGUAAUCUCUGCGUCGCCCUCAAGGUAUGAUUCAUUUUUCCUAUACAUUUUUACACAUUCAACCUCAUUUUAUACACUAACUUGAGCGUUGAAUUACUAACGUGUCUACAAACACCCUCCAAUCCACCACGAAGAUUUCGUUGCCACUGCACUGGAGCACCAUACCUUUACAGUUGCCUCCAUCCCUCUCUACCGGACAGAUCAAUGAUUUUAGUGCUACUACGUUUUUUUAUUUCGGUGGGUUUGGGAAGCAAAUAGAGGCAACCCAGUUGAUGAAAAUGCAACUUUUUCAUUAGGUGUUGAUGGAAAUCUUGUGUGGGCUAAUGAUGAUGGAAGAAUUGUUUGGCAAACAAACACUUCCAAUAAAGGUGUUGUUGCCUUAAGGUUACUCUCAAAUGGUAACAUGGUUUUAAUUGAUACUAAAGUUAAUUUUGUUGGCAAAGUCUUGAUCAUCCUACAGAUACCCUUUUGGUUGAUCAAUAUUUAAAGCCUAAUGGUCCUUCAAAACUUGCUAGUAGGCUUUCAGAAAAAGAAAAUGUUGAUGGUCCUUAUAGUUUGAUUUUGGAGCCUAAAGGUUUGGCUUUGUAUUAUAAGAGUGAAAUUUCACCUAUGCCAAUUAAAUAUUGGUUUUCAUCUUCUUGGUUUUCAUUUGAAAAAGGCUCAUUAGAAAAUGUCACAC